GUUAGGUGUGGAGAAGAAGUCUCAGAGCUCUUGGACCGUUCUGAAGAGGCAGGAAUUGAAGAAAUUGUUGAAAUCAUGAGUGGAUUUUCAAGAGAUGGUGAGGAAGCCUCCAACAUCAACAAGCUUCAAGCGAGGAAAGCAGUUAUGAGUAGGAUGUUGGUGAAGAGCCUGCAAGCUGGGGAUGCCGUGUUUGAGAGAAUAUCCCAUGCUGUUUAUUUGGCUGCAAGAGGAGUAGUGCUUGCAGGGAAUGGCCCUCAAGGAAGAAAAUUAGCAGAAAUGGCACUCCGGCGGGUGGGAGCUGUUGAUCUGACUGAUAGAGUGGUGGAAGCUGCUGAAAUAUCGCUGGCAGCAGCCACGGUGUCGGUUAAUGUUCAUGGGCAAUGGUAUACAUAUCUGACUGAUAACAUGUGAUUGGUUUGACAUGAAGAAGAAUGAAGUUAAUUACAAGGUGGAAAGAAGAAAAUAAUGCACACACCUGUACAUAGUAGUGGGUGUACAUUUAUGUUUUAAGUAUGAACACAGGAUGGAGGGUUGUUAAUAUGAAGAAAUAUUUCAUGAAUAGGAGAGGGAUGUUGUAAAUAAUAUUUAUAACUGAAUUGAAUGUUUCUUUUCUAUUCUGAUUAAGCUCCCUUUAUUUUCUGUCCAGACUCCAGAGAAAUAAAGUCUGUCUGUCUGUCUGCAUGUCUGUUAAUAACAUUUGGGAUAUAAAUAAUUGCUUUGAUGUUUCAUACGCUAAGUUUCUCUUUCAUUUUGCUACUUGUGAUAUGACCUAUAACCAAAAGUUCUUAGUUGUUAGAAUGGAUUUGGUUCAGGUAAGGAAGGAUGGAAACAAGCAAAAGCUUGUGUAAUCUCUGUAAAUCAUUGGUAACAUAGUUCUGGAAAAUCCAAUUGAAGUAAUGUUUGACCGCUUUUUUGUGGAUUAGGUACCUUAGAAAUGAGAACUUGCACAGAGGAGUGAAUUUUGUAUUGCAUGAAGAGAGUGAAUAAGCUCAACAUAACACCAUUCUUCAUUCCUUUACAAAAUUAGGAAGUUUAAAUGUGAAUGAAUCAACUUACAGUAUUCUUCAUGAUGUAUGAAUCUUUCUGCGAUAUAAACAAUGAGAACCAAGAUGGAAAUUGGAAUUCCUUCAAUGAACAGCAGCAACUUCCUCACUCCGGUGCUCCCCACCUUCCAUCCCCAACAAUCUUUGUCACGGUUUUUGACAAAUUAAAGCUACAAACACCUUAGCUAUUGAAAAGUAUAAGCCAAAAGAAAACAACCCUGUCACUUUCUGGUUAGCAAUAAGAUAUCAUACAUUUCAACCACAUAGAACCUACAAAAUGAUUUAAGAACACAACUUAUAAUUUGCAGAUUGGAAGGAUAGUCUUCAUGGUUGGAGAACAUACAAGUGGCUGUGAAUGUAUAAUUCUUGAAUAGAGUUGAGAAGUGUAUGAAGAUAUUAGGAGCUAUGUGAUUGUUCGUAUAUCAAGAUGGUCUGUGUCUUUGCUACUGUCUUCCAUGGGGAGAGCCAUGGGGUACUCAUUUCCAAAUGUUCAGUGAGAAAAUCAAAUUGAAAGCCUGCAGUGAAUAUCAAUAAAUUAGCCUAUGGAGAAUUUGAGGCUCAUGAGUAUAUAUCAAGAAGACAAGUCACUUAUUAUACCUGGAGAGCUGCUUGGCACCAUGUCUUAUGACCAUAGGCAACAAGAACGUCAAAGUUAAUUUGUGUAUAAGGACAUUUGAGACUAGAACUGACAAUUCAAUCUUAAUAUUGAAGCACAAGAUGUUGAACAUCAACUUCUGUGAAGGAUUAGAGUUUAGGGCAAGUAGAUAUGCCCUUAAAGGAACAGUUAGAUGUCAAUCACAACUGACCUGAAAUUGGCUAGAUCGAAAUGGUACUUCAAACACAUAUUGAGAGGUGCUUUGACUUCUUCUAUGUCUCUGCCUUACAAGGAAGAGAAUACUUCAAAAAAUCCACAUAAUCAUUGGUAAGUACAAGAAGACCCCAAUAUUCUGUGUCUGUUUUCAACUGCUCUGUUGGAAGAAAAAAAAAAAGGACAAAACCCCUCUAAUUGAAGGAAGGGAGCAAAGUAGCAUAAGAUGCUACUUUCCCAUGCCAGUCUUUUGUAUUAUGAAGCUUUGAACCAUCUCAACCCAAAGGAUAUCCAUCAAUCUAAUAGUUCAUCAUGAUUUGCAAAACACAGGUUUGCAUGCAACAAUGACACUAAACAAUAAAGAUUGAUGCUAGUUUAGCUUAUUAGAGAACAAAGGACUACUGAGUCAGACAUCUGUUUUCCAUUGGAGAUGGUGCCCUAAUCAAGAAGAUUAAAGGGUGAUUGGAGUUGGAAGUGUCAUAAUCACCUGAAAGAAAACAAUUGCAAAGACAUGGACAGAUGCACGUAAAAUGUAUGUAUCCAUUAACAAAUGGUUAAUUGAGAGGAAGACAUCAUUUUUGAAACCAAAAGGAUUUCAGGUUUCUUAGCUUUGGUAGUAACACACCCAAGAUCUCCUUGUUUAAUACAAAUCAUCUUCCUAGAACUAAAACAGCAGCAUCCUCAGACGCCUUUGCAGAAGCUCUCAGCACCAGUUAAUGAAGGUGACUCAUGAGGGAUGGUCAAAGGGCUGGCUGAGAUAUCUGAAACAGAAGACAUGUUUAUUAUCUGUCUGUGUACAAUGGGAAUUCCUUGUAUUCAGGAUGUCAAAAUCUUUCUAAACAUCCGACUCUGCAGAUACAAACAAUGGGAAUUCCUCCAAUGAGAAGCACAGGAACAUUGUCAAUUCUAAGAAAAGGAUCCUGUUUCUGAAUAGGAUACAUGACAGUGAUCUAAGUAAUCAUCCCAACAGCAACAUGAGACAGAAGACCUAAUAAAAACCAAAACAAGAACAAAAUGACAUCAAAAUUAGGAAAGAAAUAAAUGCAGCAAAAUCAUAACAAAGAUGCUAUAUUCCUGUAUCCUUGCCUUAGGAAUGUAACUAAUUGGUGAUCUCUCCCUUUAUGCAAGCAGAAGCACAGGAAACACCAUCUCUGGUAAAAUGCUGACUGCCAAACCAAAAUAGAGCAACCUCAGCCAAACAUGACCUGACUUGACCAAUUCAGUACUAGAAACAUAGAAGCCAUUGUAGUAGUGUACUUGUCAUCUCUCUGUUUAAUAUCAGUUAAGUUUUCAGGCACUGAAAGAGCAGAACCUUCCUCACUCCACCUUCCAUCCCCAGCAACCUUUGAAAUAAUUUUGUUACAAAUUAAAACAACAAAUGCCUUAUUUAUUGAAAAGCAUAAGCCCAAAGAAAACAUACCUGUUUCUUUCUGGUUAGGUAUAAGAUACCACACAUUUCAACCUCAUACAACCUACAGAAUGAUGUAAGAGCAACUUGUAAUUUGCAGAUUAUGAAGAGGGUCUCCUCUGUUUUACCAUCAGAAAAUGGACCAAAGCAAUCAAAAUAUUUCUGUAACCAUAAAUUAGCCAAAAAAAUGUGCCCAUGUAUGCUUAUGUAAGAGAAAAUUAGAAAUCAGCCUUGCCAAUUGGAAAGGUAACUUACUUGAUUCAUGGAGAGUAUACAAGUGACUUUGUUUAGUAUGAGCUACCUGGAUUCAAAUAUUUCUUCACUCUUGAUAUCUUUGUUCCUGAUUUGUAGCUUAAUAAGAAAAAUGAAAAAAUAAGAAUCUUAAACCAAACAAACAGAGCAUAAAAUUGACUUUUGUUAAUGUGUAAUUCUUGAAUAGAGUCAAGAAGUGUAUAAAGAUUCUUAUGAUUGUCCAUGAGUAGAACUAUUAUGAUUGUCCAAGGGGAGUUGAACUUGGGUGUUGAAAAUUACCAAUGAAAGAGUCGAGGGCAUGUAUCUUGGCUGUUGUCUUUCAUGGGGAGUCAUUGAAGAAAGAUCAUUGCCAAAUGUCUAGUGAGAAAAUCAUAUGGAAAGCCUACAGUAAAUGUCGAUAAAUUAGUCCAUGGAACAGAAAUAGAGGCUCAUGAGUUUAUUUAAUAAAACAAUUCCCUUAUUAUACCUCAAGAACUGAUUGGCACAAUGUGUUAUGACAAUAGGCAACAACAUCUUAAAAGUUUGUGUAUUAGGAGACUUGAUACUAGAACCACAAAUCCAAUCUUAAUAUCUUGCAGCACAAGAUGUUGAAGAUCCACUUCUAUCAAGGAUGGAGCUCAGGACAAGUAGACGUCACACACAACUGAACUGAACUUGGCAAGAUUGACAGUUCCCAACGACCAGAGCUUAGAGGUGCUUUGACUUCUUUCUUCUGCAAGUACAAGAAGACCUCAAUAUGCCGUAUCAUGACGAUGUAAGAGUGAAGGAAGGGGGUAAAGUAGAAGACAAGUGGCAUCAAGUCAAAAGAUGAGAUUUUGAGUUUGAGACACUAGGCAAUUCCAUAUCAACACAAAUUGGACUUAAAAUAGUGACCGAAACCAAUUGAAUAAUAGGCUCUUUUGGAGGGAUCCUUUUUCUAAUUUCAUAAAUUCUCAGACUCUAAUUCUAUUUCAAAUAAGUCACAAAUCUAAUUAUUUCUAUUUACUUGAUAUAUUUCUCAUUAUCAAAACAAAAAUAUGUUUCUUAUAAGAAAUCAUUCAUGUUCAUCCUGGUUACUUAAUGUGAGUCGGAGAGGAAAAACGAUGAUUAACUUGAUAUGGAAGGGAGAAAAGAUACAGUAUCUUGAUUCUAAUUCAACUCCUGUGAAAAGAUAACUUGCAAAAGGAUCAAAAUAAGUAUUCAUAUAAUUCAAAAUUGUUUACAUGCAAUAGUUAGACGUAGAGCCUAUUUGUGAUGCAAGUAAAAUUGCAAGCACAUUUCAUCAUAGACAUGGAUAGGCAAUACCUAAGGUAUUAGAAGAUGUACGAGUGUUUAAAUCAUCGGUAUUCCACAGAAAAUACAUAAACUUGCAAAACCUUUUUAGUCAUUCAUGUAAUUUAGAGGCCCAAUAAGGUUAAUAAAGUCAUCAAAUUAAACCUUUGGUAAUGAUACCUUUUUGUUAGGCAUUGCCUGGCAGAAAGUUGUAAGUAUGGCAGAAAGUUGAAUCUCCAUUUUUAAGGAUGGAAAAGGGAUCAAUAAGUACAAAUCUAAAGUAGGCCACGAAAAAGAAAUAAAACAAUUAAAAUGUUCAACUGACCAUAAACUACCAGAAAUUCGUCCAUGCCUGCCUGUAUCACAGAAAUUCAUGGAUAAAUUCAGGAAUCACCUCUGCCCAUUAUAAAGGUAAAUUGAAUGAGCCAUUGAAAUAUUUCAAUUGUCUAUGUUAAAAUGCAAGUACCUAUUGUCAGUCUUCCUCCACACCUCUUCACUUCUUUGUUUUCAGUCUUGUAGCAUAAGAGAAAAAACCUGAAGUCAAAGGGCAGAGUAUUUUUGCACACUCAAAUCUCCAACAACAGGGCAGCAAAAAUUGACGCAGGCCAUAUUGCAAAUUUCCAAUGGAAUAGUCUCAGAAGUGUGUUUGCUGCUGCCUUUCCAGGGGGAGACUCAUCAAAUAUUGUUUCAUUGGAAAGAUUAUAGUCAUAUAUCAAGAACACAAGUCUCUUAUACGUGGAGGGCUACUUGGCACCUUGCCUGCCUGACCAUAGGCAAUGGAAUCUUACAAGUUUGUGUAUAUUGCCACAAACUUUUGUUAACCUGAGAAACAUAAAUAUAUUAUCACAAUAGAAAUGAUUAGAAAUUCAGACGCACAUAAAUAUUGGCACAUUGGUCUUUUUGUUUUUUUGGAGUGUAGAACAAGUACCUGACUGACUGUAUGGCACACCCAAGUCAUUAUGUAUGUGGAAUCACCACCUUCAUUAGUCAUUAGUAUAGCACACGAUCUAUCACUAUGUGUGGAAUGUGAGCUAUAUAUUCCCAAUCUUGGCCUUUCUCAAAUUGGCAUCUACACUCUAGCAAAGGACAACCAUAGAUUUUCAGCCAAGAGAGGGAGUUUGGCAGUCUCUCUUUUGUCAAGUAUUGGAGCUGAUCGCAGUCAGAGAUAAACAAUUUUUUAAGAGAGGUGAGGUGUUGAAGACCUACUUCUCUCAAGGAUUCGAGCACAGGGAGGAAGUCCAUCUCUAACUCUUCAAGAGAGGUAAGAUGUUGAAGCCCCUCUUCUCCGAAGGAUUGGAACUUACGGCAGUUGGAGAUGUAUAAUGUUGUUAGAGAGGUAAGAUGUCGAAGCCCGUUGCUGUCCAGAGACUUGAGAUUCGGAAGAUUAGAUAUGUGAAGAGAGGUAAGUGUGGAGGGCAGUAGGGACUCAUUGGGAAAUGAUUCCAUGUCUCGGCAUCCAUCAUUGAUUCUGAAUUCUGUAAGAGAGGACAGUCUUUGCAAACCCCAGUCCACCUGAGAUGUGAGUUGGUUGCAGGAUGAAAUUUCAACUUCACGUAGGUCGGAGGGCAAACCAUCUCUCUGAAACAACAAUUCUGGACAAUCUAUUAACCUCAAUUCCUGCAACGAUGAGAGCGUGUGCGCCAGCAACUUCAGCUUCCUGCAUCUGGAGAUCUCAUAGUUUGCAGACUCGAGAGCGGGCAAUUCAAUAUAUACAAGAUCAGGGCACCGAAUGAUUUGAAAACUAUUAAGAGAUGUGGGAUCCCCCUCUGAAACGGAGAUGGAGAGGAAUUCAAGCCCUUCGAAAUCAGAGAUGUUGAGACUGUUCAACCGUGGGAAGAUGCUUAAUGAGAAAGAUAAUGAGAAAGAAUUACGGCUGCUAACAUCACAAAUGGAUAAACUUUCAAGGAAUGGAUGGUGGGAUCUCAAUAGCGCAUGCAGGAGAAACUCCAGUUUGUUACACUUCGAGAUACGUAGUGACUUCAAUGUAGUGGGGAAACCAACACUGUGCAAGGGUCUGGAGAAACGACAACUUGUGAUGCACAAAUGUUGGAGAAGACAUGUGCUUCUUUGUAGCAUUCCCUCCUCCAAUACCCACUCUAUCGAAUCACAUUCUCUAAUGAAUAGCGUCUGUAUUCGUGGUGGUAGUUCCUCCAAUUGAGAAAUGUCUGAAAUUUCAAUUACUGAAGUUUGGAGAUUAGUGAACCCACAAGCUGGCCUUUUCAACCGAAAUUUACCAGAAUACGACAUUUUCCAUUCACGGAUUUGAGGAGCUCGGAGGGAGCCCACAAGCAACUCACAACCAAUGAUUUCAAGUUUCUUCAAUGAACGAAGCUGUUUUGGUAAUUUCCCAGUGAGUUUGGGAGAUUCAUUUAUGCAAAGCUCCUGAAGACGAGGGAAUUCUCCACGUCUGCAUCCACAACAUAACCAUUUCUCCCAGUUGUACAUCUUCUCGAAUCUUAGAGUUUGUAGGGACGGGAAGGAGGGCUCAAUUGUGUUGGAGGAAGAAGCAUUCCCAUAAAAUUCACUACCCACCAUUUUAACUCCUUUCAUUUGUAAGAUAGAAAGAUGUUUAAGAGAGGGUAGCUGCCCGAGUGGUGGCAAUGAUGGACAAUUGUUACAAUUGUGAAGCUUCAGGUAAACAAGAUUGAAGAAUGAAGGAUCUCCUACCCAAGCUGGAAAGCUUAAACCACUAAAAGAAUAAAUAUGGAGUCUCUUGAGGUUUGUAUGUGGCUGUAAGCUGCUGAGUAUAUCCCUUCUAUUUUGCACAACAACACCAGCAUCGAUAUUCUUGUAAUCCCACUGCAACUUCAACUCAUCAAGGUACUUUUUAUCCUUCAUAUUAGCUUCUAAUGCAUCCCUAUCACAUACAACAUUCUGCAGCUUUGAAAUGACAAGACUUCCCGAAAGCUCCCUCAAUGCUCCCAAUCUUAACCCACCAUUUUGGCCCACAAUAAAUGUAGAAAGUGAUUGUAAAUUCUUUAGCUUACAUAUAUCACUUGGCAUCUCUUUCACUGAAGAAGUAUAACGAAUAUCAAGGUAGCGCAAAUUAAUCAAUUUUUCCAUCCUUGAGGGUAAUUCAACGAGAUAAUCACAUCCCAAUAACAUCAUUGUUUGUAAAUUGUAUAAGUUACAAACCGAUUCAGGCAACUUUUGAAUCCUUGUCCUAGAGAGAUCCAAGUAGCGCAAGUGUUUCAACUUCUCAAUCGAAUGAGGCAAAUCAGUAAUAAGAUAACCAUUCAAACACAACACUCGUAAACAUUUCAUUUCUGGCAAUAUAUGCUGUAAAACUCUAUUACUCAAGUAUGUAUAAUAAUAGUUUCUUCUUGGUAAAAAUGUUCGGAGACGCUUCAUUUGAGGAAGUGUGUCAAAACUCUCAUAUACAUCAAAUUCACUAAUCAAAUACGAUAAAUGACGAGUUUUCUUCGAGACUCUGUAUAUCUUACCAUCCUCCAAAGAAACAGAAAAUUCUAUAGAUACCAAUUGUGCCAAGUCAUUAACAAGGUCGUGCAUUACAAAACAUGACUCAUUACUUACUGAAUUUUGGAAAAAUGACUUUGAUAGAAGUUCUUCAAAGUACAAAUUGCCUACCUCCUCCGGUCUUUUCUUGCUUUUUGAUUGUUCCAACAAACCUUCUGCCAUCCAUAACAAAACUAGCUUCUCCUUUUCGAAUUUGUAGUCUUUGGGAAAGAUUGAACAAUAAGAAAAACAACGUUUUAGAUGUGAAGGCAGGUAAUAAUAACUCAACCUCAGAGCAGGAAGAACCGCAUCUGUGGGCAAAUCCCAUAAUUCACUGUUUAAUACAUCAUCCCAUUCUCUUGCUUCAACCUUGGAGUGUAAGAGACUCCCCAUUGCUUUUAUAGCCAGCGGUAGACCUUGGCACUUGUGGACAAUCUUUUCUCCGAUUGCUUCUAGUUGUGGAUGCCCACUUGAGUCUCCAUUUUCAAAUGCAAGUUUUUUGAACAGGGACCAGCCAUCUUCAGAGGAUAACCCACCUAAACAAUGAGUAUGGACUGCACGCAUGGCAGAUGCAACCUUGGUGCUUCUCGUAGUUACAAUAAUCUUGCUUCCCUUUGCCCCGACUAUGAGCGGAGUUCGUAGCGUAUCCCAGUCACAAGAGUCUUCGUUCCAAACAUCAUCAAGGACAAGUAGAAAUUUCUUCAUAUUAAUUCUCUCCUUCAGUUGAACCUGAAGUAGAUUUAGAUCAGUGGUAUUGGACGUGGAUGAAUUGAUUGCCUCGAGAAUUGUUUUCGUUACUCUGAUAGGAUCAAAUUCUUCGGAAACACAAACCCAUGCCUUGAGAUCGAAGUGUUCCUUCACCCUUUGGUCAUUGUAGAGAAGCUGGGCAAGUGUGGUUUUGCCUGUGCCACCCAUGCCGACUAUGGAGAUCACACCCAUCGCAUCAGUACUCCUUGCAUUAUUGCACAGCAACAGUUGAACCAUCUCCUCCUUAAUUUGAGCCCUGCCAUAGACAAGAGAUUCAUCUACCAAAGAAGUAGAAGGCCACCUUUGUGCCAAUUUCUCACCAACGCCUUCUUUCAACCCGAGGACGUCUCUGUCUCGUGCCAUAUCUUCUAGUCUAUCAAUGAUCUCCUCCACCCUAGACUCUAUGCCCUGACCAUAAAAUGGAGCGAGAACCCAGGUUGACAUGUCCAUGAUGUUACCCACCUGACUUGUGCUGGUUUGGGACUCCGCAGCUUCCACCUUGUGUCGCAAAGCCUCUGUGGUGAUCUCAUCCAAUAUGUCCUCCGCAUCAUACACGGCCUCUUUAAGCAAGACCAGCCACUUCUUCACAUAUGGAUUUGUAAAUUGUUUGACCUCAGCAUCGUUGAGCACUGCAUGGACGACCAGCAACUUCCUUUCCAACUUCUUCAGGAGCGCAUCGCUGAGCUUCUGCCCCCGGAUGAAGCUCACAACCUCGCGAGAAGCCAACCUGUCAAAUAGAACAUGGAGAGAAGCUGAGAGAAACGCACCUCCAACUAAAGCCCCUGCCAUUUCUGUUUCUCUUGCAAAGGAGGUGAAAGAUGAAUCGAGGGAAGAAGAAAGCAAGCAGACCCAAAAUGAAACCUCCAAACCAGAAAAAAAAAUUAUAGAGAAAAUCCAACUUGUUGACGGUAAAGGAACUUUGGAUUCCAAAGUUUUCAUGGUAGACCCCCCCAUAUGCCAGCUUUCUUUGCCGACAACAAACUUCAUUGGUCAAUAUAUAGAAAAUGAAAAUUUGAUUGAAGAUUUUCAUCCUUCGUACAUGAUUUUCCUUCUAUUGUGAUAAAAACGUAGACUUAAUUGAAGCUUCAUGAAAGCCAUCUUCUGACUUUUUCUGGAUUUCAUCAUUGAUUAAAUGAAAAGUUUUGGUUGUAAAUCAAGGUAUUUUGAGAAUUAAAUGAGAUUUAUAUAAAAAAAUUUAUGAAAAUUUACUUUUAUUGUGUGCUUAAUAUAGGUGAAACUAACAAUUUUUUAGGGUUAAUAUAAAUAUUUUUCUCGUCAGAAUCAUCAAACCAAAAAAAGUUAUCAGGUUUUGAUUUGGAUUUAAGGGUUAAAUCUUGGGGGAUCAUGAUUAAAGAAUGAUAUUAUAAAUAUAUAAUUUAUACAUCAAUUAAAAAUAACUCACAAAAAUUAAAAUUAUUUGUAAAUAUUUUAAAUAAUUGAAAUAUUUUACCAUUUUAUGUUUAAUAUUAUUAUAUUAAAUUGUGAUAAGAAUAAAAUAUAAAUUUAUUAAUAUUUUUAUUUUACUAGUUACUAAAAAUAUUGUAUUUAAUUAUUGAAAGAAUGUAUUAUAUAUAAAAAAUAGAAUAAGAUUUUGAUAUUUAUUUUUUUCAUUUUAUAUUUUAUAAAUCUUGUUAAUAUUUUAGUGUGAAUAUAUACAUGAAUAUCCAAUAUAUUUAUUUUAUAUAUAAAAAAAAACCAUGUUUAGGGGAAAAAUGGAAAUGGUUGGCACUUUUACAUUUAAGGGGAAAGCAAGUGGAGGCAACGUAGUUUGUAUCUUUUUUCUAUUAAAUACAAAAAAGAGGUACAAGAACCUAAAAAAUAGAAGAAAAAUAACAAAAAAAAAAAAAAAGACGCAACAGUUGGGAAAAGGUUGGUCUAAUUCUUAUUUGACCAACCAAUUUGAACUCUUAGACUUGCUUAAGCUUUUAGUAAAUUGAUUAUUCAAAAUGGUAUCAUAACUUGAUUUGAUAGGAGGUCUUAUUGAUAGGAGGUGUUAAGAAUAUAAUAUGAAUAUUAAACCCAAAUCGUAUAAAUUUAAUUUUUAGGGAAAUUGGUUGUUUAACAAGAUCGAUGGUUCAAGUGGUCCACUAGGUAAAAUUGUUCAAUUUCUCAAUAGUAGGAUGAUUGGUCGAUAUUCCAACAGGUCGAAUUAUCCAAUUUGGUUCAAUUUUUAAAACCUUAAUUAAUAAGCAACAACAUACAAUUUCUAGAUGGAUUAUGAUUCUUUUAUCGAAUUUCAAUAGAAUCGUUAAUGCAUAAAGUUUUUUUAUAUAUAGAUACUAUGGAUUUGUUUGGCAAAUUUUGAAAAACAAUUCUUAGUUAUUUUGAGGAAUAAAAUUCUAUUUGAAAACUCAAAUAUAAAAAAAGGCUUUAUUAAUUUAUUUUUUAUAAAAGUAUUGUGCAUUUAUGUAUAAUUCAAAAGUUUUUAAAAUAUUUUACAUUUUUUCAAUUAUUACUCACAACUCAAGCAUGCACAAAAAAUAACUAAAAACAUCUCAAUUUUAUUAUAAAAAAGUUAUUUUUAGAAUACAUUCUCAAAAAAUUAUUUUGUAUAAAAAAUGUUCUAUAGAAAAAAAAUAAAAAUUCAAAAUCAUUAGUAAGUAAGCCUAUGCAACUGUGAAUGCUUUGCACAAAAUGAAAAAGAAAAAUGGUAUUUUUCAAUACCAUUUGAAAUCAUGAAAAGACCAUAACCUUGCAUACAAUAUAUGGGUCAAGGCCUUUAAAAAAAAAAAAAUCUUUUUAUUUGGAUAUCUAACUUGGGAUUCAAGGUUUAAUUAGGAAUUUGGUCAUUCAUCACCAUUUUCAUUAGUUGAAAUUCUUUGGUAGACUUGGUUGUUGACUUGGUAGUUCAUAUCAAGCCAUAUGGACUUCAGACCCACCCACUAGAUAUGAAUGAAAAUAAAGGCAAGUGGGGGUGGUAGGAAGACUCUUAUUAAUAGCUUUUGUCAAGUACUGGAGCUUAGGGUAGUUGUGGACCAAUGUUACUUAGGAUCUUAUCAAUUCUUGUUACUGACAGCUGGGGUUGUAGCUUAAGAAAAUAUCUUCAAUCAAACAAAUGAUACACCAGCAAACCCAAGUCUCCAACAAGAAUCAAAUUUCGCAUACCAGAUUUUCACCUUAUCCUUUCUCUAUUAUUUUUUCAAACAAAAAUUCCAUUAAUGUUAAAUUAUUAUUAAGUUGCAUAUUUUAGUUGCUUGAAUAUCAUUAUUUAAUAAGGGGCCAUGGGGUGUUAUGUAAUCCAAGUAGAAAUUAAUAAUAACUCUUUGUGCAAUUGUUUAGCCUACAUUUUUUUUUCUUUUUUCAUUUAGACAACACUUGUAGCAUCUUAAAUCCUGGUUUCCCUCAUUGGAUUGAAGUAGUUUUAGCAGAAAAUGUAAUGUGCAAAACCAUGGCUGCUACAUGUAACUCUAUCGAUAUAUCUAAAUCAACUAUUUUUUUUUGUCAAAGGUGAAAAAUGAUUAGUACUAGUACAUUAAAAUAAGAACUAUAUGUUGCAUAAGGAAAAGGUUUAAUAUUGCAACAUAUUAAUAGAAGGGCAUCAACUAAAAUUAUCCAUAUAUAAAGGUGUAUAGGAUUUUAUUAUGAUUCGAUCAAUCAUGCCUACCUUCACAGAUGCGAGAUAACAUUUCACAAUAUGAUAGAAAAUAUUACAGAGGAUACAAAUAAUUACAACUAUUGGAUUUCAAAAUAUUUCAAGUUUUCCACUCUUUGUAUUUUCAUUCUAAAUCAUGAGCUAUUUUGCUCCAUCCGGUGUCUCCCACUCUUCCUCGUAUCUACACCCUAGACCGUAAGGCCUCUUACUCUAUCAGAUGUCUUUUACUCAUUUUCACAUCUCUAUCCAUAAUAUGUAGUCUUUACAAACUGACCUCUAUUAUAUCUCUUCUCAUAACUUUUUCAACUUGAUCAUAACCUAAAAUAUUUAUAGAGAUACUCCUAUUUGCUUUACUUAUUCUAUAAAGAAUCUAAUUACGAUCACAUAUCAACCUAGGAAACAUUUUAUAUAAUAUUCCUUUUUGACCGCUGGAUUUGUAAUUUGCUUCGCCUUGGCAUCAUUGAGCACGGCAUGGACAGACAACAAUUUUCUCUUCAACUUCUUGAGGAGUGCAUGAUUGAGCUUGUGCCCCAUGAUGAAGUUGAGUACCUCGUGAGAAGCAAGUCUGUGAAAUAGAACUUGGAGAGAAGCUGAGAGAAAAACACCUCCAGCCAAAGCCCCAUCCAUGUCUGUUUCUCUGGCAAAAGGAAGUGAAAGAUGAAUCGAGGGAAGAAAGUAAGCACACCUAAGAUGAAACCUCCAAACUAGAAAAGAUUGGUUCAGGCGAAGUUUCCAAUGGUUGAAUGAAUUAUUGGACAUUGUGGUAGAGCCCAGACUUCUGCAUUGUUAUUGUUGACAAAACAUCACAGCUCAGUGGUCCACGAAAAGAAUACAAGGAGAAAGGAAGAAAAGGAAAGGGGACGUAAACGAAAGUCAUACAUGGAUAUGUGAACUUACAAAUCCUAUAUCCUUUUAUCAAUAAAACAGUUGAAAUAUUUUAUCAUUUUUAUAUUAAAUCAUGAUAAAAAUAAAAUGUAAAUUUAUUAAUAUUUUUAUUUUAUUAGUUCGUAAAUUAUAAUAUUUAAUUACUAAAAAAUAUAUUAUAUGUCAAGAAAAGAAGAAGUUUUUUUCUUUUCCUUUUUCUUUUUUAAAAUUUUACGUGAAUAUUCAAUAUAUUCAUUUCAAAUAAUUAAUGUUAUUAAAAAUGGUAUUUUUAAUACUAUUUGACAUCAUAAAAGGACCAUAACCUUGCAUACAAUAUAUGGGUCAAGGCCUUUUCAAAAAAAUAAUUUGUUUUUAUUUGGUCAUUCAGCACCAUUUUCAUUUAUUGAAAUUCUUUCGUCGACUUGGUUGUUGACUUGGGAAUUCACGUCAACCCAUAUGGACUUCAGAUUCCCCACCAGAGAUGAAUGAAAAUAAAGGCAAAUAUGAAAGGCAAGUGGUGGUGGUAGGAAGACUCUUAUCAAUAACUUUUGUCAGGUACUGGAGCUUAGGGUGGCUGUAGACCAAUGUCAUCCCGAAUCUUAUCAAUCCCUGUUACUGACUGCCGGGGUUAUAGCUUAAGAAAAUAUCUUCAAUCAAUCAAAUGAUGCAUCCGCAAAUCCAGGUCUCCAGCAAAAUUCAAAUCAUUAUUCACAUCACAACCUUUUUUGAACCUAUGUGCAAGCAAGGAGGCUGCUCGUGCGGUUAGGUGUUAAUGAAGGAUGAAAAUAUCGGUAAUCAUGGAUAUAUUAGUACUUGAAUUUUACGGAUAUAUUGAGAUAUAUCGACGAAUAUUUUGCCACAAAAUAUCGAUAGAUCAAAAAUUCAUCAAAACUUAUGAAAAUGUAAGAAAAAAACUCUUAAAAAUGAAAUUAGAAGUAUAAUAGACAUUUUAAAGUUGUUUUGUUGAAAAAUUAAUAUAUGUAUGAUAUGAUUUGCGAUAUUAAAUUUAAUUAUAUAGUGUUGACUAAUAAGAAAUGUGAAUUUUUUAAGUGUAGACUCAUUAUGAAGUUAAAUUAUUACAAAUAUACUAAUUAUAUAAUUUAAAUAUAUUACUAUAUUAAGUUAAUUUACUUACCUCUAUUGAAAAUAUAUUAAUUAAUUGUAAAAAUGUACUAAUUUAAAUUCAAUGUUAUAUUAAUUUAAAAUUGUAUUAAGUUAAUUUAUUCUUAAUAUACUAUUAUUACACUUGAAUAUCAAAAUAAAAUAAAAUUAUUAAUUUAAAACUAAAUUAUUGAAAAUUUACUAAUUAUGUUAUUUAAAAAUAUUUAUGAUUUUUAUUUUAAAAUAUUGGUACAUUUUGAUACAAAAUAUUUUUAUUUUAAAAUAUUGAUAAUUUUAUUUGUGAUUUUAUAUUUGUUUUAUAUUUAAUUAGUAUACAAAAUAAAUUAUAAGAUAAUUAAAGUUAACUUAUUUAUAAUAAUUUAAUUUUUUACCAAUUUUUCACUGAUAUAUUAUAUCCAAUAUAUCUUUGAAAUUUCAGCAAUUUUUUCCCAUUUAGGAUCGAUAUUUUGCUUGUAUCACCGAUAUAUUUGUGACACCGAAAUUUACCGAUAUUUCCAUCAGAUGAUAUAUCUUACUUAUAUAUUGUAUCCACCUUCUUCGAUACACUAUAUAUCGGCGAGAUAUUGCCAAUAUAUCUUGAUAUUUUCUUCCUUGGUGUUAACAGGGUUAGCCAAUUUGUUGAAUUUGUAGUUUAACAUCCACACACACAUUCUUUCCACAUCAUUUGAUGGCCAUUCAUAGAUUAUAUAUAAAUUUAGAGUACUUAGGAUUUGAGGGCCAUGAAGGGAAAAAAGACAGUGGUAAAGAAGGAAAAAAGUAGAACUGUAAUUAGCUUGGCCCUUGAGAAAUAUUUUUUGGUCACACUGUUCCAUCAUUUGGCCUGAACGAAAAUCCUCAAUAUGUCAAAGCUAUAUUGUACAAAAUUCCUUACAGGCUAAUAUUUGUUGACACACUUCUGCCAUGAAUACAUAAGCCGGUAGUGUUAGAGCUCUCCACAUUACUGAGACAGAUGGGCUCCUGUCAUGAAACAUUUGAUUUUUCCAGGAAAAGGAAAAUUUUGUCCUAGUUGAGUUCCAAUGACCCGUCCUUAUAUUUGCUUGCGCAAUUUUGGAGUUCAUUCUCUCCCUCCUUAAUUGUCUAAGAACUGAUGGAUGCUAAUCUUAAACCGUCUGGCAUUAGCCAACCCUAUGGAGAUGGAAAACAUGGUAGUUAGGUGUGGCGAAGAAGUCUCAAAGCUCUUGGACCCUUUUGAAGAGGCAGGAAUUGAAGAAAUUGUUGAAAUCAUGAGUGGAUUUUCAAGAGAUUGUGAGGAAGUCGCCAACAUCGACAAGUUUCAAGCGAGGAAAGCAGUUAUGAGCAGGAUGUUGGUGAAGAGCCUGCAACCUGGGGAUGUCAUGUUUGAGAGAAUAUCCCAUGCUGUUUAUUUGGCUGCAAGAGGAGUAGUGCUUGUAGGGAAGGGCCCUCAAGGAAGAAAAUUAGCAGAAAUGGCACUCUGGCGGGUGAGAGCUGUUGAUCUGAUUGAUAGAGUGGUGACAACUGCUGUAAUAUUGGUGGCAGCAGCCACAGUGUCGGUUAAUAUUCAUGGGCAAUGGUAUACAUAUCUGAUUGAUUUGACAUGAAGAAGAAUGAAGUUAAUUAUAAGGUGGAAAGAAGAAAAUAAUGCACACACCUGUACAUAGUAGUGGGUGUACAUUUAUGUUUUAAGUAUGAACACAGGAUGGAAGGUUGUUAAUGUGAAGAAAUAUUUCAUGAAUAGGAGAAAGGGAUGUUGUAAAUAAUAUUUAUAACUUAAUUGAAUGUUUCUUUUCUAUUCUGAUUCAACUCCCUUUAUUUUCUGUCCAGACUCUAGAGAAAUAAAGUAUGUCUGUCUGUAUGUCUGUUAAUAACACUUGGGAUAUAAAUAAUUGCUUUCAUGUUACAAUCAAAAGUUCAUAGUUGUUAGAAUGGAUUUGGUUCAGGUAAGGAAGGAUGGAAACAAGGCAAAAGCUUGUGUAAUAUCUGUAAAUCAUUGGUAACAUAGUUUUGGAAAUUCCAAGUGAAGUAAUGUUUGACCACUUUUUUCUGGAUUAGGUACCUUAGAAAUGAGAACUUGCACAGAGGAGUGAAUUUUGUAUUGCAUGAAGAGAGUGAAUAAGCUCAACAUAACACCAUUCUUCAUUCCUUUACAAAAUUAGGAAGUGUAAAUGUGAAUGGAUCAAGUUACAGUAUUCUUCAUGAUGUAUGAAUCUUUCUACUGAUAUAAACAAUGAGAACCAAGAUGGAAAUUGGAAUUCCUUCAAUGAACAACAACAACUUCCUCACUUUGGUGCUCCCCACCUUCCAUCCCCAACAAUCUUUGUCACAAUUUUAUGACAAAUUAAAGCUACAAACACCUUAGCUACUGAAAAGUAUAAGCCAAAAGAAAACAACCCAGUCACUUUCUGGUUAGCAAUAAGAUGUCAUACAUUUCAACCACAUAGAACCUACAAAAUGAUUUAAGAAAACAACUUGUAAUUUGUAGAUUGGAAGGAUAGUCUCCAUGGUUGGAGAACAUAUAAGUGGCUAUGAAUGUAUAAUUCUUGAAUAGAGUUGAGAAGUGUAUGAAGAUAUUAGGAGCUAUGUGAUUGUUCAUAUAUCAAGAUGGCCUGUGUCUUUGCUACUGUCUUCCAUGGGUAGAGCCAUGGGGUAUUGUUUCAUUGGAAAGAAAGAUCAUUUCUAAAUGUCCAGUGAGAAAAUCAAAUUGAAAGCCUGCAGUGAAUAUCAAUAAAUUAGCCCAUGGAGAAUCUGAGGCUCAUGAGUAUAUAUAAAGAAGACAAGUCACUUAUUAUACCUGGAGAGCUGCUUGGCACCAUGUCUUAUGACCAUGGCAACAACUUAAAAGUUAAUUUGUAUGUAAGGACAUUUGAGACCAGAACUGACAAUUCAACUUCAAAGUUAAUUUGUAUAUUGAAGCACAAGAUGUUGAACAUCAACUUCUGUGAAGGAUUGGAAUUUAGGGCAAGUAGAUAUGCCCUAAAAGGAACAGUUAGAUGUCAACCACAACUGAACUGAAAUUGGCUAGAUUGAAAUGGUACUUCAAACACAUAUUGAGAGGUGCUUUGACUUCUUCUAUGUCUCUACCUUACAAAGAAGAAAAUACUUCAAAAAAUCCAUAUAAUCAUUGCUAAGUACAAGAAGACCCCAAUAUUCUGUGUCUGUUUUCAACUGCUGUGUUGGAAUAAGAAAAAAAAAAAACCCUCUAAUUGAAGGAAGGGGGCAAAGAAGCAUAAGAUGCUACUUUCCCAUGCCAGUCUUUUGUAUUAUGAAGCUUUGAACCAUCCCAACCCAAAGGAUAUCCAUCAAUCUAAUAGUUCAUCAUGAUUUGCAAAACACAGGUUUGCAUGCAACAAUGACACUAAACAAUAAAGAUUGAUGCCAGUUUAGCUUAUCAGAGAAAAAAGGACUACUGAGUCAGACAUCUGUUUUCCAUUGGAGAUGAUGCCCUAAUCAAGAAGAUUAAAGGGUGAUUGGAGUUUGAAGUGUCAUAACCACCUGAAAGAAAACAAUUGCAAAGACAUGGACAGAUGCACAUAAAAUGUAUGUAUCCACUAACAAAUGGUUAAUUGAGAGGAAGACAUCAUUUUUGAAACCAAAAGGAUUUUUCUUAGCUUUGGUAGUAACACACCCAACAUCUCCUUGUAUAAUACAAAUCAUAUUCCUAGAACUAAAAUAGCAGCAUCUUCAGGCGCCUUUGGAGAAGCUCUUAGCACCAGUUAAUGAAGGUGACUCAUGAGGGAUGGUCAAAGGACUAGCUGAGAUAUCUGAAAUAGAAGACAUGUUUAUUAUCUGUCUGUGAAUAACUAGUGUUGAGCAAAAUGCCUUAGUAGCUACAAAAAUGCUGGAAGACGUGUGAAAGUUGUUUUUGAAUUGAGGAAGCUUAGGAAUCUGUUAAGAAGGCUGCUGAGGUGAGAAGAGAUGCUGAAAUUGAGGCUGCAACCAUAAAACAACUUAGUCAAUGAACCUGAUAGAGUUUCAUGGAGCUGUUAUGCUGCUGUUGCUAUUUUAUAAGAAAUAGCUGUUAGUUCCAGCUAUUUUUGCUGCUUUUCUAUUGUUUUCUAUUGCAAACUUGUGUAUAAAUGUUGCAUUUAUCAUUCAAUAAGAGUAGACAUUUUCGUUGUCUCAUAUACAACUUUUGGUUGUUGCUUCCAGCACUUCUAGAUUCUAAAACCAACAGAUUGGUAUCAGAGCCUUCUAUCUUAAGGGACCUGUGAGGAUUGAGUGAAGCCAAAAUACCUUCAAAUGGAUGGAGAUACAAGCUUUCUGUCAGUACCAGUUUUCAAUGGUGAUAAUUAUCAAGCAUGGGCUGUUAGAAUGACAGUCCACCUUGAAGCUUUGGAUAUUUGGGAGGCAGUAGAAGAAGAUUAUGAAGUACCACCACUUGGAGACAAUCAAAGUAUCAAUCAAAUGAAGAUUCACAGGGAAAGAAAAACAACGAAAGCGAAAGCCAAGGCCUGCCUCUUCUCCGCAGUUUCACCUUCCAUUCUCACCAGAAUCAUGCAAAUGGAGUUUGCUGCAGAAAUCUGGGAGUAUCUAAAAAAUGAGUACCAGGGGAAUGAAGGGGUGCAGAAUAUGCAGGUAAUGAAUUUAAUCCGAGAAUUUGAAAUGACCAUAAUGAAAGAGUCUCAAACUAUCAAAGAUUAUGUUGAACAACUACUUAGCAUAGCAAACAAGGUAAGAUUGUAUGGUAAGGAAUUUUCUGAUGAAAAAAUCGUUCAGAAAAUCUUAGUAACUCUGCCUGAAAAAUAUGAAGCCACAAUCUCUUCCUUGGAAAACUCUAAAGAUCUGUCAAGUAUAUCUUUGGCAGAAAUUGUUAAUGCUUUGCAGGCCUUGGAACAAAGGAGAAUGAUGAGACAAGAAGGAUCUGUUGAGGGAACAUUUCAAGCCAAAUCACAAAACAAUGAUUUCAGAAAAGACAUAAAGAAAAACAAGAAGAACAACAAGUCAAGCAAUAAUAAAAAGAAUCAGAAAGGAGCCCAUCCACCUUGCCUUCAUUGCAAAAAAACAAAUCAUCCUUCACAAAAGUGUUGGUGGAGGCCAGAUGUCAAGUGCAACAAUUGUGGUCAAUUAGGCCAUAUGGAGAAGGAAUGCAAAACACAACAAGAAUGAGAGAUCAAGGUUGCAGCUGCUGAUCAAUAUCAUGAAGAACAGUUGUUUGUUGCCACCUGUUUUUCCAGCAAAAACACGUCUGAAAGUUGGCUCAUAGACAGUGGUUGCACAAACCACUUAACUUAUGAUCAAGGGCUUUUUAAGGAACUUGACAAAACAACCAUUUCCAAAGUAAGAAUUGGAAAUGGGGAAUACAUCUUAGCAAGGGGCAAAGAGACUGUUGCCAUUGAAAGCCUCUCAGGUUUGAAACUUAUCCCUGAUGUUUUAUUUGUUCCUAAUAUUGAUCAAAAUCUCUUGAGUGUUGGGCAGCUACUUGAGAAUGGUUUCAAGGUGCUAUUUGAGGACAAGUUCUAUAUGAUCAAGGAUGGAAAUGGAAAAGAUGUGUUCAAGAUCAAGAUGAGAGGCAAAAACUUUGCCUUGAAUAUGAUUGAGGAAGAGUAGGUUGCUGUUUCUCAAGAAAAUAAUGUCACAGCUUUAUGACAUAAGAGAUUGGGGCAUUUUCAUCAUAAUGGAGUGCUCUACAUGAAGAAGAAUCAACUUGCAGUAGGUCUACCUGACCUGAAGCAAAAUCUUCCUACUUGCGUAGCUUGUCAGUAUGGAAAACAAUCCAGACUUCCUUUCGCACAGAAAUCUACAUGGAGAUCAUCACACAAACUGCAACUUGUACACACUGAUGUUAGAGGACCUCAGAGAACACCAUCUUUGAAGGGUAGUAAGUACUAUAUUGCCUUUAUAGAUGAUUAUACCAGAUAUUGUUGGAUUUUUUUCCUAAAUUUUAAAUCUGAGGUUGCUGAUGUAUUUUGGAAGUACAAGGCUCUAGUAGAAAACCAAAGUGGUGCCAUCAUACAGGUUAUAAGGACAAAUAAUGGCACUGAAUAUACUUUUGAAAGAUUCUAACAAUUUCUGUGAAGAAGCAGGCAUAGAGCACCAAUUGACUGCACCUUACACACCACAACAGAAUGGAGUGGUGGAGAGGAAGAAUAGGACUAUAAUGGAGAUGUCAAGAUGCCUUUUGCAUGAGAAAGGGCUACCAAAAAAGUUCUAGGCUGAAGCCGCAAACACUGUAGUGUUUCUACUGAACAGACUCCUAACCAAAGCUUUGAAAAAAAGACUCUUUUCGAGGCUUGGUUUGGAUAUAAACCUCUGUUGUUAAACUUAAAAAUAUUUGGUUGCCUUUGUUUUUGUUAUGUGCCUCAGGUGAAACGGGACAAGUUGGAUAAAAAGGCAGAAGUCGGGAUUUUUGUAGGAUACAACAGCCAAUCAAAGACUUAUAGAGUCUAUAUGCCUCAUGCUGACAAAGUCAUUGUUAGCAGAGAUGUCAAAUUCAUGGAGGAUGAUAAAUGGAGUUGGGAUGCUAAAAAAAAUCAGAAUUUUAAGUUUCUUGAUGAAAAUAUUGAUGACAUUCCCUUAAGAGGCACCAAAUCACUUUCUAAUAUUUAUCAAAGGUGUAAUGUGGCUGUGUUUGAGCCUGUAGGUUUUAAUGAAGCCGUUGAGGAUAAAAAAGGGAGGGUUACAAUGCAGGAGGAACUCAACAUGAUAGAGAAAAACAACACUUGGGAGCUAGUUGACAGACCAACACAUAAAAAGGCCAUUGGUGUCAAGUGGGUUUAUAGAACCAAACUCAAUUCUGAUGGUUCUGUAAACAAACAUAAAGCCAAGUUGGUUGUCAAAGGUUAUGCUCAAAUGUUCGGUGUGGAUUUUUCAAAAACCUUUGCACCUGUAGCAAGGUUGGAUACAAUAAGGAUGUUGCUAGUUUUGGAUACUCAAAAGGGUUGGAAAAUCUAUCAGCUAGAUGUAAAAUCAGCUUUUCUAAAUGGCUACCUUAAGGAGGAAAUCUUUGUGGAGCAACCUGAAGGAUUUGCAGUAAAAGACAAAGAAGACAAGGUUUAUCAACUAAAGAAAGCCUUGUUUGGCUUGAAGCAAGCCCCUUGAGCUUGGUACAACAGGAUUAAUGUACAUCUGCUUGGUCUGGGGUUUAAAAAAAGUCAGAGUGAAUCCACACUCUACAUUAGAAAAAUUGAUGUUGACAUACUUAUUAUUUCAUUAUACGUUGAUGAUUUGCUUGUAACAGGAAGCAAUCAAUGUUUAAUGGAUAAAUUCAAAGCUGAAAUGGAGGAGGUCUUUGAGAUGACAGAUCUUGGAGACAUGUCUUAUUUAUUGGGAAUGGAAGUGCAUCAGAAUCAGCACGAGAUAUUCAUCUGUUAGUAGAAGUAUGCAAAAGAAAUUCUAAAAAAGUUCAAGAUGGAGGAAUGCAAGCCCACAACCACACCUAUGAAUCAAAAAGAAAAGUUUUGCAAAGAAGAUGGUGCUGAAAAAGUAAAUGAAGAGUUAUACAGAAGCAUGAUUGGAUGCUUGAUGUAUUUGAUUCCAACAAGGCCAGGUCUACUCUCAUGAUACAUGCAUUGUGCUAGUGAAAUUCACUUGUAGGCAGCAAAACGUAUUGUGAGAUAUAUAAAAGGCACUAUUGACUUUGGCAUUAAGUUCAAGUAGGUGCAGAAUUUUCAUUUUCAUGGAUUUUCUGAUAGUGAUUGGGCUGGCUACGUUGAUGAUAUGAGAAGCACAUCAGGUUAUUGCUUUAGUUUUGGUUCAGGUUUUUUCUCUUAGUGCUCUAAAAAACAGGAUAUCGUGACACAAUCCACAGCUGAAGCAGAGUACAUUGCUACUGCUACUGUUGCAAAUCAAGCACUUUGGAUAAGAAAACUCCUAACAUACUUAAACAUGGAGCAAACUGGGAGCACGCAAGUCUUUGUUGACAGUCAAGCUGCAAUUUCAAUUGCAAGUAAUCCAGUAUUCCAUGGCAAGACAAAGCGCUUCAAAAUCAAGUUUUAUUUCUUAAGAGAAAUACAACAUGAUGGAGAAGUAACUUUGAUACAUUGUAAAACAAAAGUACAAAAUGCUGAUAUUCUAACAAAAGCUCUACUAAGAGCUAGGUUUGAAUUUCUCAGAAAAAGACUUGGAGUUUGUAGCUCCCAAGUCAAGGAGGAGUGUUGAGAAAAAUGCCUUAGUAGCUACAAACAUGCUGGAAGACGUGUGAAAGUUGUUUUUGAAUUGAGGAAGCUUAGGAAUCUGUUAAGAAGGCUGUUGAGGUGUGAAGAGAUGCUGAAAUUGAGGCUGCAACCAUAAAACAACUUAGUCAAUGAACCUGAUAGAGUUUCAUGGAGCUGUUAUGCUGUUGUUGCUAUUUUAUAAGAAAUAGUUGUUAGUUCCAGCUAUUUUUGCUGCUUUUCUAUUGUUUUCUGUUGCAAACUUGUGUAUAAAUGUUGCAUUUAUCAUUCAAUAAGAGUAGACAUUUUCGUUGUCUCAUAUACAACUUUUGGUUGUUGCUUCCAGCACUUCUAGAUUCUAAAAUCAACAACUAGUCAGAGGCAUGUUUCGGUAUCAUUUGGGGUAUAAAUUAAUGGAUUUCAUGUUUCACCUUUAAUUUUCUAUUUCUUAAGUAUUAUAUGCUGUGACUUGUGAUGAUGAUGACUCCUAUCUUCUUUAAUUGCUUAAUCCUUCAUGACCUAUAAGCUAAAGUACAUAGCUGUUGUGGGACAUGGAAAAAAGGCAAAAGCUGGUGUGAUCUUUGUAAUUCAUCACUAGCAAUGUUCUGGAAAAUUCCAAUUAAAGUAAUAUUUGAUCAAUUCUUGCAGAUUAGGUACCCUAGAACUAAGAGCUUGAGCAGACUUGUCUAUUGCAUAAAGAGAGUGAAGAAGCUUAACAUAACGUCCUUCAUUCCUUUUAUUCAGAAUUAGGAAAUUGAAUGAGAACGAAUCAAGUUACAGUAUUCGUCAGGAUGUCAAGAUCUUUCUAAACUUCUGACUCUGCUGAUACAAACAAUGGGAAUUCCUCCAAUGAGAGAAGCACAGGAACAUUGUCAAUUCUAAGAAAAUGAUCCUAGUUUUGAUUUCUGAAUAGGGGACAUGAGAGUGAUCUAAGUGAUCAUCCCAACAGCAACACCAUGUAUACAGAAGACCUAAGAAAGACCAAAACAAGAACAAAAUGACAUCAAAAUUAGGAAAGAAACAAAUGCAUCAAAAUCAUAACAAAGAUGUUAUAUUCUUGUAUCCUUGCCUUUCAAAUGUGACUAAUUGCUAAUCUUUCACUUUAUGCAAGCAGAAGCAUAACAAACACCAUCUCUGGUAAAAUGCUGACUGCCAAACCAAUACAGAGCAACCUCAUUCAAACAUGACCAGACUUGACCAAUUCAGUACUAGAAACAUAGAAGCCAUUGUAGUAGCGUCCUUUCCAUCUCCCUGUUUAAUACCAGUUAAGGUUUUAGGCACUGAAAAAGAAGAACCUUCCUCACUCCACCUUCCAUCCCCAACAACCUUUGAAAUAAUUUUGUUACAAAUUUAAGUAACAAAUCCUUAUUUAUUGAAAAGCAUAAGCCAAAAGAAAACACACCUGUUUCAUUUUGGUUAGGUAUAAGAUAUCACACAUUUUGACCUCAUACAAUCCACAAAAUGAUGUAAGAACAACUUGUAAUUUGCAGAUUACGAAGAGCGUCUCCUUUGUUUUACCCUCAGAAAAUGGACCAAAGCAAUUAAAAUAUUUCUCUAACCAUAAAUGUGCCCAUGUAUGCUUAUGUAAGAGAAAAUCAGAAAUCAGCCUUGCCCAUUCAAAAGGUAAUGUAAUUGAGUCAUGGAGAAUAUAUAAGUGACUUUGUUUGGUAUGAGCUACUUGGGAAGAAAUCUUUGUUCAUUCUUGAUAUCUUUGUUCUUGAUUUGUACCAAACAAACAGAGCAUAAAAUUGACUUUUUGUUAAUCUAUAAUUCUUGAAUAGAGUUGAGAAGUGUAUAAAGAUUCUUAUAAUUGUCCAUGAGUAGAGCUAUUGUGAUUGUCCAAGGGGAGUUGACCUUGGGUGUUGAAAAUUACCAAUGAAAGAGUUGAGGGCAUGUAUCUUGGGUGUUGUCUUCCGUGGGGAGUCAUUGAAGAAAGAUCAUUACCAAAUGUCUAGUGAGAACAUCAUAUUGAAAGCCUGUAGUAAAUAUUAAUAAAUUAGUCCCUAGAAUAGAAUUAGAGGCUCAUGAGUAUAUGGAAUAAGACAAGUCACUCAUUCACUACUACAAAAAUUGUAUACAAUGAUGUUCACUUUCUUGGCGCUUUUAAAAAGUGUCAACAUUUCCAACCUACAAUGGUGCUUGCUAGAAGGUUGGGUAAUAAUAGCGCUUAUUGUAUAAAUUCUUGGCGCUUUAUAAAAGCGUCCUUAAAAAAUUCACUUUUUUAUAUCUAAGACGCUUGGUAAAGUGUCAUUUGUUAACAUAUUAUAUAUACUUCUUUCUGAAAUUUCAUCACACUGCCAAACAUGUCCCCGAACAAAUCAAGUUCCCUUUCAAACCCACCAACACAUAUCGAGCUCUCUUUCACUCUGAGAAGAACUUUCGUGCUACAACCAGAUAUUGAAGACCUACCGGAGAGUGUAUUUCAUGCUGACACCCACACCAGGGGCAGUCUACUAGCAAUUUCUUUGAAACACCUAUGACAACAAAUUGCUCCAUUAUUAAAGUCCAAGAUUCUAGCAAUCGACUAGAAAUCGAACUUACAAUGAGUGGCCAGUGAGCAAAAUCAUUCCUUACAAAAUCUGUAUGAAACAAAUCCACCAUUGCCAAGCUCAUUCUCUUUUAACACAUUUUCAUGGUGAAGACUUUCAAACUUUGUCUAAGGUCAGUAAAUAUUCUCUUCUCAUCCUUUCCACUUGAAGCAUUGAAGUAUUCUUAUAGUUUCUGUCCAACCCUAAUUUCGUUUUUGCUAGCCCUAACUAUUGUUUUACAACUAAUUAAUUAAUUUAUUUUUUAUUGUUCAGCCCUAACUAUUUUACCUUAUACAUACGAUUUGGCUUGAAUAUUUAUGCCAAAGAUGACAUGUUAGGUUAAUGCUCUAAAUUUUCUCUUAUUUUUCUCUAUAUCAUAUAAAACAUCUUAGGAUUUGAAAGAAUUUUAUAGUUUUCUCAGUAUUACUUUAAAUUCUUGAAUUUCCUCUCUAAGGUUUCCUAAUUCAUUUUUUAAGAUUUCAAUAGCAGGAAUUUAAUGCCUAUUUUAACUUUUGAAGCAAGAAAAACUAACUUUGAGUGGCUGGAUUGUUAAUAUUCAGAACUGAAGUCAGACAUGAAACUGAUGUUUGAAAUUUUCAUUUGGUGCCCCAUAUGCUAUAAAGGCAGUGGUUUACAAGGUUGGUUUGUGGUUCAAUGGAAACUUCGUUGGCUUGACUUUAAUAUAUCCUGGAUAGGCAUUUUUCUGUAAGUGUGGUUAUAUUUAGAUAAGGAUUGAUUUGGUGUGAAUGGGUUCACUUCAAAAUUUGUAUAUUUUUGGCUAAACCAAACCAACCAAGCUAUAAUUUUUAUUAUAUUUUAGAACUUGGAUCACUUAAAAUCAAGAAUCUUUAAGAAGAAAAGUUUGAUACCCUGCCAAAUGAUCUUAAAUUCUAAGGAUUUAAGUAGUUAGAAAAAUAAAUGAAUCUUAAGAUGUUUAAUAUUUGAUUAAAGAUAAUGUUAGUUUAAGAAGAAAUAUAUAAUGAUAACAUGCCUUCAUCAUAUAAUUUUGUUGAGAGAAAAAAAAUAUCUACAAAAAGCUAAUAAAAGUGGGGCAGAGAAUAUUAAAAUUUGUGAAUGGAUUGACAUGAUUGGGAACAAUUCUUAGAUUAAUGGUCUUGCUGAAUACAUAAUAAUAUUGGUAGGUAGUGGAAAACAUGCACAACUUGGGUGAGAACAUUAAAUUUGGUAAUAACCCUGCAUCACAAUCCCAAGCAACUCUACAAGGCACAUUAACAAGUGGCACACACUUUGUUUACCCACAAAUCAUGAAAACAUGCUAUAAAACUUCAUUGGAAAAAUCUUUGUUUUUAAUUUUUUUAUGACUUGCGUUUAACCCACUUGAAAUUGCAAUUGUUGAGGAAUCAUGACUUAGUCCUUGUUUAUGAAUACAUUAGAACCAGUUGGUCAACUGCAAUACUUUCACAAAAUGGUUUACAUUUGCCAAGUUCUAAAGUAACAUGAUAAAUUUAAUAUUUUUUUUCCUUUGAUUGAUAAGAUAACAAAAUUUGGUUGAUGUUGUUCAUUAUUAUUUUUUAAAUAUUCUUUUCCCUCAUGGAGGCUUACAGUUGGUUAUUUUUAUUUUUAAUCUCAUUCACAUUUUGUGUUUGUGUACUUACAGUCUGAUGCAUAUUUCAUUAUAGGAAAGAAAUGAAAGUUUGUUAGCUAAGUAGAAGGUUAAAGUUGUUUUUUUUAGAACUUUGAUUUCUGGUUAUUUCAACAAUUCCUAUUCAAUAGUGUGCUUGCCUUUUUCCAAGUUGAAUUUUUCUCUUAGAAAAGCAUACUAGAAAGUUGUAAUGGUUUAAGUACAAAACCUAAGUAGAGAACCUUGCUCUUGUUUUUGUAGUUGAAGAAUCAAAUAAUAGCAGUUUCAUCAUCAAUGAGUUAUCUUACAAUAGCAAGUUGGAGAAAAGAACCAUUAGGUUUGAUUUUAGCUCUUCUACAUCUAUGGUUAGUAGGAGAGAGGUGAGCCCUCAAAAUGAUGGUUGUGAACCUUUGGAGUCUCAAAAUAUGUCUAGGCUUGAAGAUGGUUCUGAUUCUCUGUCAUUUCCUGGCCAAGUUCAAAGUGGGCUCCAAGAGUUAAGUUUCUCUGCAGCAGGGUGUUUAUCAGUUUUGAUCAGUAACCCUGGGUAGAUAGCACAUUCUGGUAACAUCUCUUUGCCAUCAGACCACUAGUACUAGUUCCUUUGCCUUCACCAUGUUAAUCACUUACAAACUAUCUUUUCUAUCAUUUCCACUGUAUUGUCAGCUAACUUCUUAUUUUAAAAACUUUUCUAUCAUUUCAUCCUAACUUAAUUAGAUGUUGUUAAGUUAGUUUAUUUUUAGGACUUUGAUAGUCCCAUGUAAUGUCAACUAACCUCUUAGUUUAAAAUUGUUUCCAUUAUUUUCAUCCUAAAAUGUUGAAUAAGCUAGCGUAUCUUAUAUGUUGCACAACUUCUCCCAAGGGAAUGGAAACAUCAUGAAUAUCACGAGGCUGUCAAAAAUUGGUACAAGCACCUCCUUGAGGUUAAGUGUAUUUUCAAGUAAGAUUUUCAUAUAGAUUUAUAAAUGUUCCUUUAUAUUUUGUUUCUUGGAGAAAAAAAAAACAAAGGAAGGUACGUGUGUUCUUUUAAACUGGUAUUUCAUUGCUUGAGAAAAAACAGAGUAGGCUUGAGAAAAAAGUUGAGGUAUUUCAUUGCCCAGUUUAUAAGUAGUAAGAGGAUUGAAAAAAGGGUGCUCACAUGAAAGUCAUAUGCUUUUCAUGACUUAAUUUAAUUCAUAAGUCUCUGGAAUGGAUUUAAAAGUACACGAGCAUAACCACUUUGUCCUAGCCAUAUAUUUGUUCUGCAAUUAUUUGGGAUAUGUUCCUAGAAAGCAUACUACAAAAAUCUAGUUUAAAAGCCAUUAAGGAAAACAUGCUUAUCCCAAUUAGCUUCAUCAUCUUUCUAUGUUUGUCUCCAUCCUUUAAAAACUAUUUAAAUAAGUGUGAUUUUAUCUUUUUAAUGUUGAUGUGCCUUGUAUAAAUAGGCCUCAACCUGUCAACACUUCUCAAUGGGAAAAUGAUAGGGUUAUAUCUAUUCGAUUUAAUCCUAAAGAACCAGAUGUCUUGGUAGCUUCCAAAUCAAUUACUAGUUUCUUUAUUUACUUAUUUCUUGAUUGUUUUGGGAUAAGAAAUGAGAAAGUUAAUUGAUAAAAUAGAAAAGCAACUAUAAGAAAAGAUAGGAAGCCUUCAAAACAAAGCAACCAAGAAUAAAUUCAAUAAAAACAUAAUACAAAGCAAACAAAGGAGCCAUCCAAAACCACUUAAGGGAGAAGAUGAUCUUCUCUAAAAUUCCCAAUAUUUGACCUCUUUUUGCCAAGAAUUCAACAUCCUAAUUGGCUUACCUAGGAAUUCAACUGUAACUUACCCCUAGAAUCUCUCUCAAGUAAUGACAUACCAUUAAGAACCCUUAUUUAUUGAGGUGGCCCAAGAAUUGACCACUAAAGAAUCUACUCUCAAUAAGCAUGUGUCUGAACCCUAUGGUUCAGGCCUCUUUGAAACUAUGCAUGCAAGAAAUUAUGAUUCAAUAGACUAAGCAUUUCUCUUUGGCUUACAUAUUUCACAAUAAUCACCAGCCCUUCACUGCUACUGUAAGGUAAAUAUUACCAGAAAACCUUUUGCAUUAGGCUUGCAGUUGUACUAAUUACUAACUGAAUCUUAAUUUUGUUGCUAAUAAACUAUAGACAUUGACCAUAUAAUUUAGGAUUACUGAUUGAACUAGCUAAGUAUUCUCCCCAUCUUGAUUAUCAUGAUUCCAAUAUAAAGGAAAUAAUUCAUAGCUCAAAUUUCCCCUUUGAAUCAAUAUGCUCUACUUCAUUUUCACACUAUAGACAGUUUUUUGAUCGAAAAAAAAACUUACCCUCUAUUUUUUUUUUUUUGACCAAAAAAAAAACUAACAUAGGAAUCCUCUAUAAUAAUAAAUAAAAAUAAAAACUUAACAACAAUAGCUGAGGGGCAUGGGAUUCCCAAAAUAAGACUAGUUUGAAACCCCUCUCACAUCAAUUUCUGCCUUUAGGCUUGCUCUGACUAUGGUAGCCUAGAUGUAUGGACUUCCCAAAACAAGACUCUGGAGCACUUGAGAACCUCUCACAUAAAUUUCUGCAUCCAACCUUACCUCACCUUGGAAUUGAGUGAAAGAACAAAACCUCAAACAGUAUCUGACUAGAGCAAAUAUUUUCACAAUGCCAAUAAGAAGAAUGCUCAUUCUUGGUAACUCAAAUUCAUAGGAGUUUGAAACUUUGAAUAUAUAUAGAUGGGAAUCCAUAUGUAUAGAUAGAUAUAGAAACACACACAAAUAUGGACAUGGAAAUGUUGAAGAAUCACUCUUUCUAAUUAAGAAAUUUACAACUACUCUAUCAUUUUACAUUAAUAGCCUCCAGACAAAAUUUUGUUAUUAAAAAAACAUGCAUUAGUUAGAGGAUUUAUACCAUUUCUUUGGCUUUUAACAACUUCUCAGUGGUGGGUGAUUCAACCAUAGUUAUGUCUCAAGUUUCUUAGAAAAUUUAGGCCCUUGGAACUGGGGCAAUUGGUCGUCCUUGUCUUCUGCUGGUUCAGUUGUAUUUUGUUGAUUCAAUUAUAUUGUUAGUUUUCUUCUUUAAGAUAUGGUCAUCCCUUACGUCCUUUUUUUAUCAUUAAUUAAUGGUUUUUGUUGUUCAUGAUCAGAAAGAGAGAAGGAAAAACAAAUAAACAUGGUUUCACACAAAUACUGUUAUGUUUCUCUUAUGGAGCAUUUUAUAUGCUAAUUUUCUUAGUUGAAACCAAAAAUUAUUUGGUAGUUUUAUCAAUUUUAACGUAUUUUCCUUUUCUAAUACAAACUCUAACAUAUAUUUUCUUGUUGCAGACAAGAACUAAUUCCAUUUCUUGGAAUCCAAUGGAACCCAUGAAUUUCACAACUGUAAGCAUAAUAAUUCAACUUAUACAUUUCUCUGUUUUUCUUUUUCCCCACUUCCUGUGGUAGUUUAUCAUUUGUAUUCAAUUUGAUGAUGCACUCUCCUCUAUAGAUGGGUUGUUGCAAUUAAGAUUCAUAAUUUUCUCUCUUUCACUUUGCAUUGCCAAGAACCAAAUGAAAGAGGAAUGAUUAGUUUUAAUAUAAUAUUGUAUUGAUUCCUUCAAAGAAAUUAAGAAUCUAGUAAAACUUUGUUUCAGGAAAUUUUUGAAAGUUCUGUUUUGGAUUUAACUCUUCUAAAUUCUAAGAGUUGUUGAUUCUUGAUGUCAUUCUUUUAAAAAAAUUUCAACCAGUCCCAAGUGAGUUGGCAGAUCAAGAGCAUAGAUAUUGUGAUGCUUUUGUCAAUGACUCAUUGUUCUAUUUUUUUUUUCUCUCCUUUGGACAAAUCGCAUGAUUUUAUUAUGAUAGCACAUAAACUAUUUUAAUUAAAGCAAAUAAUAUUAGGAUGGUACAUAGCUUAGUAAUAUUGGAUUUCAACUUCUAAUGUAAUCAAUGCCAACUGCAUUUCUUUAACAACUAAGGUGCGCAUUUACUUUAUUUUUGUUCCUUUCCUUCAAGGAGACCUAUCUUUUCUUGAAGUCUAGACUAGACAUUAAUUUGACUCUAGAUAGAGUUGAAUGACAGAAAAAAAUUUGUACAAAAGACUUCAAUUUGUUAGAGUUUAAGGCUUGUUUUGCCUAGUUUAUUUAUCUAUUUAUUUGACUAGAAUUAUCAAGUUUAUUUUUUAUCUAUAAUAUUUGUAUGCAUUGAGCCAAAGUAAGAUUCAUGGAUAUUGUUUCGCUGGUCCAAUGAUGAGUACACAUCCUUGCCAUCUUUUAUACGAGACUUGUUUUAAAUAAGUCCGUUUUUUAAUGAAGAUGGAUAAUGUUGUUAGAGGGGUAAGAUGUCGAAGCCCGUUGCUGUCCAAAGACUUGAGAUUCGGAAGAUUAGAUAUGUGAAGAGAGGUAAGUGUGGAGGGCAGUAGGGACUCAUUGGGAAAUGAUUCCAUGUCUUGGCAUCCAUCAUUGAUUGUGAAUUUUGUAAGAGAGGCCAGUCUUUGCAAACCCCAGUCCACCUGAGAUGUGAGUUGGUUGCAGGAUAAAAUUGCAACUUCACGCAGGUCGGAGGGCAAACCAUCUCUCUGAAACAACAAUUCUGGACAAUCUAUUAACCUCAAUUCCUGCAACGAUGAGUGUGUGUGCGCCAGCAACUUCAGCUUCCUGCAACUGGAGAUCUUAUAGCGUGCAGACUCCAGAGCAGGCAAUUCAAUAUAUUCAAGAUCAGGGUACUCUUUGAUUUCCAAACUAUUUAGAGACGUGGGAUCCCCCUCUGAAACGGAGAUGGAGAGGAAUUCAAGCCCUUCGAAAUUAGAGAUGUAGAGAUUGUUCAACCGUGGAAAGAUGCUUAAUGAGAAAGAUAAUGAGAAAUAAUUACGGCUGCUAACAGCAAGAAUAGAUAAAUGUUCAAGGAAUGGAUACGGCAUUCCUUGGUACACUCCCGUUUGGUACACUCCCAGAUAAUUAGUGACUUCAAUGUAGUGGGUAAACCAACACUGUGCAAGGGUCUGGAGAAACGACAACUUGUGAUGCGCAAAAGUUGGAGAAGACAAGUGCUUCUUCGUAGCAUUCCCUCCUCCAAUACCCACUCUAUCGAAUCACAUUCUCUGAUUGUUAGCAUCUGUAUUCGUGGUGGCAGUUCUUCAAAUUGAGAGAUGUCUGAAAUUUCAAUUUCUGAAGUUUCGAGAUCAGUGAACCCACAAGCUGGCCUUUUCAACCGAAAUUUACCAUGAUACGACAUUUUCCAUCCACGGAUUUGAGGAGCUUGGAGGGAGCCAACAAGCAACUCACAACCAAUUAUUACAAGUUUCUUCAAUGAACGAAGCUGUUUUGGUAAUUUCCCAGUGAGUUUGGGACAUUCAUUUAUACAAAGCUCCUGAAGACGAGGGAAUUCUCCACGUCUGCAUCCACAACAUAACCAUUUCUCCCAGUUGUACAUCUUCCCGAAUCUUAGAGUUUGUAGGGACGGGAAGGAGGGCUUAAUUGUGUUGGAGGAAGAAGCAUUUCCCAUAAAAUUCAUUACCCACCAUUUUAACUCCUUUCAUUUCUAAGAUAGAAAGAUGUUUAAGAGAGGGUAGCUGUCCGAGUGGUGGCAAUGACGAGCAAUUAUUACAAUUCUGAAGCCCCAGGUCAACAAGAUUGAAGAAUGAAGGAUCCUACCCAAUCUGGAAGGCUUAAACCACUAAAAGAAUUAAUAUGGAGUCUCUUGAGGUUUGUAUGUGGCUGUAAGCUGCUGAGUAUAUCCAUUCUACUUUGCACAACACCACCAACAUCAGUGUUCUCAUAAUCCAUACUCAAACUCCAACUCAUCAAGGUACUUUUUAUCCUUCAUAUUAGCUUCUAAUGCAUCCCUAUCACAUACAACAUUCUGCAGCUUUGAAAUGACAAGACUUCCCGAAAGCUCCCUCAAUGCUCCCAAUCUUAACCCACCAUUUUGGCCCACAAUAAAUGUAGAAAGUGAUUGUAAAUUCUUUAGCUUACAUAUAUCACUUGUCAUCUCUUUCACCAAAGUUUAACGAAUAUCAAGGUAACGCAAAUUAAUCAAUUUUUCCAUCCUUGAGGGUAAUUCAACAAGACAAUGACAUCCCAAUAACAUCAAUGUUUGUAAAUUGUAUAAAUUACAAACCGAUUCAGACAACAUUUGAAUCCUUGUCAUAGAGAGAUCUAGGUAGCGCAAGUGUUUCAACUUCUCAAUUGAAUGAAGCAAAUCAGUAAUCCAAUAAUAAUUCAAGCACAACACUCGUAAACAUUUCAUUUCCGGCAAUAGAUGGUGUAGAACUCUAUUACUUAAGUAAUGAAGUGAAAAGUAUCGAUAUUUGUUUCUUGGUAAAAAUGUUCGGAGACACUUAAUUUGAGAAAGUGGAUCAAAUCUCUUAUAGACAUCAUAUUUAGUAAUCAAAUAUGAUAAAUGACGAGUUUUCUCCAAGACUCUGUAUAUCUUACCAUCCUCCAAAGAAGUAGAAAAUUCUCCGGAUACCAAUUGUGCCAAGUCAUUAACGAGGUCGUGCAUUACAAAAACAUGACUUAUUUCUUAUUGAAUUUUGGAAAAAUGACUUUGAUAGAAGUUCUUGAAAGUACAAAUUACCUACCUCUUCCAUUCUUUUCUUGUUUUUUGAUUGUUCCAACAAACCUUCUGUCAUCCAUAACAAAACUAGCUUCUCCUUUUUGAAUUUGUAGUCUUUUGGAAAGAUUGAACAAUAAGAAAAACAACGUUUUAGAUGUGAAGGAAGGUAAUAAUAACUCAACCUCAGAGCAGGAAGAACAGCAUCUGUGGGUAAAUCCCAUAAUUCACUAUUUAAUACAUCAUCCCAUUCUCUUGCUUCAACCUUGGAGUGUUGGAGACUCCCCAUUGCUUUUAUAGCCAGCGGUAGACCUUGGCACUUGUGGACAAUCUUUUCUCCGAUUGCUUCUAGUUGUGGAUGCCCACUUGAGUUUCCAUUUUCAAAUGCAAGUUUUUUGAACAGGGACCAACCAUCUUCAGAGGAUAACCCACCUAAACAACGAGUAUGGACUGCACGCAUGGCAAAUGCAACAUUGGUGCUUCGCGUAGUUACAAUAAUCUUGCUUCCCUUUGCCCCGACUAUGAGUGGAGUUUGUAGUGUAUCCCAGUCACAAGAGUCUUCGUUCCAAACAUCAUCCAGUACAAGUAAAAAAUUCUUCAUAUUAAUUCUUUCCUUCAGUUGAACCUGAAGUAGAUUUAGAUCAGUGGUAUUGGACGUGGAUGAAUUGAUUGCCUCGAGAAUUGUUUUCUUAACUCUGAUAGGAUCAAAUUCUUCGGAAACACAAACCCAUGCCUUGAUUUCGAAGUGUUCCUUCACCCUUUGGUCAUUGUAGAGCAGCUGGGCAAGUGUGGUUUUUCCCGUGCCACCCAUGCCGACUAUGGAGAUCACACCCAUCGCAUCAGUACUCCUUGCAUUAUCAGACAGCAACAGUUGAACCAUCUCCUCCUUAAUUUGAGCCCUGCCAUAGACAAGAGAUUCAUCUCCCAAAGAAGUAGAAGGCCACCUUUGUGCCAAUUUCUCACCAACGCCUUCUUUCAACCCGAGGACGUCUCUGUCUUGUGCGAUAUCGUCUAGUCUACCAAUGAUCUCCUCCACCCUAGAGUUUAUGCUUUGAAUAUCAAGUGGAGGAUGAACCCAGGUAGACAUGCUGGUCAGGGUGUCCGCAGCUUCUAUCUUGCAUCGUAGAUCUUCAGUGGCGAUCUCAUCCAAUACAUCCUCAGCAUCAUAGACAACAACUUUGAGCUCAUGCAUCCACUCUUUGACUGCUGGGUUUGUAAUUUGCUUGGCCUCCGCAUCAUUGAGCACAGCAUGGACAGUCGCAGUUUCCUCUUCAACUUCUUGAGGAGUGCAUCAUCGAGCUCGUGUCCCCUGAUGAAUUUCACCACCUCGCGAGAAGCCAACCUGUCAAAUAGAACUUGUAGAGAAGCUGAGAGAAAAGCACCUCCAACCAAAGCCGCAGCCAUGUCUGUUUCUUUGCAAAGGAAGUGAAAGGCGAAUGAGGGAAAAUGAAGGUAAGCAGAUCCAAAAUGGAACCCCCAAACCAGAAAAAGAACAAUUCAGUUGUGUAUUAAGAUCUUUUUUGGCUUUUUUAUCCUCAUAUUCUUUAUGGAUGGGGACUUGUUCCUAAACAUUUGAAGUGAACUGAUCCAUUUUUUACCAUAAUCCUUUGAAUUAAUGAUUCAUCAUGGUAGAGGUCUAGAUGGUUUCUUGAGGUGUGCUCUUUCUUUGUUAAUCUGGGGUUCUAUUUUAUCUUGUGGCAAAAUAAAACAGAUGUGUCCAACCAGUUCGGAAUUAUUUUAAUAUGACUAUCAAAUCUGUGGAUGUGCAAAAGCAUAACCAGGCUCUCCGAGUUCUUUGCCUGGAGGGUUUGCAUUUGUGCUAAACAAAAUGAUUUUUCAUAUCCCCCUAUAAUUGAUGAUCUGUUGGGAUUUGCAUAAUGUUUUGAUAGGCAAAUUAGAUAUAUGUGAAUGAGCGACCUAUCAAAUAGGGCAGUAGGGACGUAAAAUAUUGUGAUUCGAUCAAUCAUGCCUACCUUCAUAGAUACAAGAUAACAUUUCACUAUAUGAUAGAAAAUAUUAUAGAUGAUAUAAAUAAUUACAACUAUUGGAUUUCAAAAUAUUUUACGUUUCCCCACUCUUUGUAUUUUCAUCCUAAAUCAUGAGCUAUUUCACUCCAUCCGGUGUCUCCCACUUUUUCUCGUAUCUACACUCUAAACCGUAAGUCCUCUUACUCUAUCAAAUGUCUCUUACUCCUUUUCACAUCUCUAUCCAUGAUAUAUAAUCUUUGCAAACUUACUUCUAUCAUAUCUCUUCUCAUAAAUUUUUUUAACUUGAUCAUAGCCUAGAAUAUUUAGAGAGAUGCUCCUAUUUGCUUUACUUAUUCUAUAAAGAAUCUAAUUACAAUCACAUAUCAACUUAGGAAAUAUUUUAUAUAAUAUUCCUCUUUGACUGCUGGAUUUGUAAUUUGCUUCGCCUUGGCAUCAAUGAGCAUGACAUGGACAGAUAAUAGUUUUCUCUUCAACUUCUUGAGGAGUGCAUGAUUGAGCUUGUGCACCGUGAUGAAGUUGAGCAACUUGCGAGAAGCCAAGCUAUGAAAUAGAACUUGGAGAGAAGCUUAGCGAAAAGCACCUCCAACCAAAGCCCCAUCCAUGUCUGUUUCUCUGGCAAAAGGAAGUGAAAGAUGAAUCGAGGGAAGAAAAUAAGCACACCCAAGAUGAAACCUCCAAACCAGAAAAGAUCGGUUCAGGUGAAGUUUCCAAUGGUUGAAUGAAUUAUUGGACACCGUGGUAGAGCCCAGACUUCUGCAUUGUUGACAAAACAUCACAGUUCAGUGGUCCAUGAAAUGAAUACAAGGGAGAAAGAAAGAAAGAGAAAGGGGAUGUAAACAAAAGUCAGACAUGCAUAUGUGAACUUACAAAUCCUAUAUCCUUUUAUUAAUAAAACAGUUGAAAAUUUUACCAUAUUUAUAUUAAAUCAUGAUAAGAAUAAAAUGUAAAUUUAUUAAUAUUUUUAUUUUAUUAGUUCGUAAAUUAUAAUAUUUAAUUAUUAAAAAAUAUAUUAUAUGUCAAGAAAAGAAUAAGAUUUAAAAAAAAAAUUACAUGAAUAUUCAAUAUAUUCAUUUAAAAUAAUUAGUGUUAUUAAAAAAACCAUGUUUCAGGGUGAACCUAACCUAUUUUUAAUUUUUCUUUCUAGAAAAGCAUGUUUUUACACAUAAAUUCCAAAGCCAGACAACGACGUGUCUUUGAAUUUUCAAAUAAUUGGGAUCCACUGCUUUCAAUGUUUGAGAAAAUAAUAACAAAAGAUGGAGCUGCCACUUCUAAUGUCUGAGGGUAAAACAUGGAAUCGACUGCUACUUUCACAUUAAAGGGGAAAGCAAAUGGGGGCAUCGUACAUCUAAGAUCUUGUUGAAUAGUAAUCUAAAUUGUCUAUCACUCCAAAGCCGCACAUGAUGGAGGGUAUUAAAAGCAUAAUAUGCAUAUUAAAUUUAAAUCAUAAAAGUUUAAACUUUUAGAAAAAUUGGUUGUUUAACAAGGUCGAUAGCUCAAGUGGUUCUCUGUCAAUUUAAAUGAUGAGAUUGUUCAAUUUUUCAAUGGUAGGAUGAUUAGUUAAUAGUCCAAGAAGUUGAAUUGUCCAAUUGGAUUCUAUUUUCAAAACCUUGACUAUUAAGCAAUCACAUGCAAUUUCUAGAUAGAUUGUGAUUCUUGUAUUAAAGUACAAUAGAAUUGUUAGUGCAUAAAAAAUUUUUAUAUGUAGAUAUUAUCGAACAUUUUCUAACAUUUUCAAAAGUUAUUUUAAGGGAUAAAAUUCUAUUUGAAAAUGAAAAUAUGAAAAAUAGUUUUAUUGGUUUAUUUUUCAUAAAAGUACUAUAAUUCCAAAAGUUUUCAAAGUAUUUUACAUCUUUUCGAUUGUUACUCACAAUUCAAGCAUGCAUAAAAAAUAACUAAAAACAUCUUAAAUUUGUUAUAAAAACUUAUGUUUAGAAUAAAUUCUCAAAAAAAUAUUUUUUUUUCAACAAAAAAAGCUUUAUGAAAAUAAAAAGCUAUUUUCAAGAACCAUUACCAAGCAAGCCUAUGUUGCUGUGGAUGCUUUGGACAAAAUAAGAAAAAAAAGAAAAAAAGGUUUUUUUUUUAAUACUAUUUGAAAUCAUAAAAAGACCAUAACCUUGCAUACAAUAUAUGGGUCAAGGCCUUCUAAAAUAAAUAAUUUAUUUUUAUUUGGUCAUUCAUCACCAUUUUCAUUGAUUGAAAUUAUUUCGUAGACUUGGUUGUUGACUUGGGAAUUCACAUCAACCCAUAUGGACCUCAUAUUCACCUACCAGAGAUGAAUGAAAAUAAAGGCCAAAUAUGAAAGGCAAGUGGUGGUGGUAGGAAGACUCUUAUCAAUAACUUAUAUCAGGUACCGGAGCUUAGGGCAACUGUAGACCAAUGUCAUCCUGAAUCCUAUCAAUCCUUGUUACUGACUGUUGGGGUUGUCACUUAAGAAAAUAUCAAUCAAAUGAUGCAUUCGCAAAUCUAAGUCUCCAACAAGGUUCAAAUUAUUAUUAACAUCACAACCAUUAUUAAACCCAUGUGCAAGCAAGAAGGCUGCUCGUGCGGCUAGGCGUUCACAGGGUUAGCCCAAUUUGUUGAAUCUAUAGUUUAACAUACAGACAUUCGUUUCACAUCAUUUGAUGGCCCUUUAUAGAUUAUCUAUAAAUUCAGAGUACUUAGGAUUUGAAGGCCGCGAAGGGAAAAAGGAUAGUGAUAAAGAACGAACCAUUGUUGGACCUUGAGAAAUAUUUUGUGGGCACACUGUUCCAUCAUUUGGCCUCAACCAAAAUCUUCAACAUGUCAAAGCCAUGUUGUACAAAAUUCCUUACGGGUUAAUAUUUGUCGACACACUUCUGCCAUGAAUAUAUAAGCUGAUGGUAUUAGAGCUCUCCACAUUAUUGAGACAAAUGGGCUCCUGCCUUGAAACAGUUGAAUUUUCCAAGAAAAUGAAAAUUUAUCCUAGUCAAGUUCCAAUGACCCAUCCUUAUAUUUGCUUGCUCAUUUUUCCAUUUUUGCAGUUUAUUCUUUUUCUCCUUAAUUUUCUAAGCACUAAUGGAUGCUAAUCUCAAAUAACGUAAAUGCAGCAUUCUUGUUUGCCAGACAAAUCCUCAUGAGUGAGCUAGCACUAGCCAACCCUGUGGAUAUGGAAAACAUUGUAGUUAGGUGUGGCGAACAAGUCUUAGAGCUCCUGGACCGUUCUGAUGAGGCAGGAAUUGAAGAAAUUGUUGAAAAUUUUCAAGAGAUGGUGAGGAAGCCUCCAACAGCAACAAGCUUCAAGCAAGGAAAGCAGUUAUGAGCAGGAUGUUGGUGAAGAGCCUGCACCCAUGCUUGAGAGAGUACCCCAUCUUGUUUAUUUGGCGGCCAAGAGGAGUGGUGCUUGCAGGGAAUGGCCCUCAAGGAAGAAAAUUAGCAGAAAUGGCACUAUGGCGGAUGGGAGCUGUUGAUCAGACUGAUAUCUUCUUACCGGGUUUCAUUUUCAUUAAAUUAAAUAAAAUGGGGGUAAUUCAUAAUCAUCCGGUUAAGAUUGAUCUAAACCAGUGCCUUUAUCCUUUUUUUAGGUUCAUUAGGGUUCUGAAUUGAAGUAAUAAUAUUAUUGAAUCAUCAGAACUAUUUCGAUAUUUCUUUUUUGGUUCCUAUACAUGGCAUCUUUGUGAAUCCAUACGACUUUCGUUCUUCCCCAUUUCUUUGUUCCGAACCAUUCGUUUCUUUGAAUUCUUCGCUCUUUUUCUUGAUUUCAUCCCUUUUCUAUAUUCAUUCAAUUCAUAGUCAUAGACGAAACGGAAGGACUUCUAUUAGAAAAGUGGUGGCAGCUACUAUAAUAUUAGUGGCAGCAGCCCCAUGGUGUCAGUUAAUUUUCAUGGGCAAUGGUAUACAUAUCUGACUGAUAACAUGUGAUUGGUUUGACCUGAAGAAGAAUGAAGUUAAUUAUAGGGUGGAAAGAAGAAAAUAAUGAACACACCUGUACAUAGUAGUGGCUGUACAUUUAGGAUAUAAAUUAUUGCAGUGUAUGAAGAUAUUAGGAGUUACUAGAUGCAAAGUUGGUUAGAACUAUUGUGAUUGUUCAUAUAUCAAGAUGGUCUGUGUCUUUGCCACUGUCUUCCAAGGGGAGAACCAUGGGGUACUGUUUCAUUGGGAAGAAAGAUCAUUUCCAAAUUUCUAGUGAGAAAAUCAAAUUGAAAGCCUGCAGUGAAUAUCAAUAAAUUGGUCCAUGGAAGAGAAUUUGAGGCUCAUGAGUAUAUAACAAGAGGACAAGUCACUUAUUAUACCUGGAGUGCUGCCUGGCACCAUUUCUUAUGACCAUAGGCAACAACUUUAAAGUUAAUUUGUGUAUAAGGACAUUUGAGACCAAUCUUAAUAUUAAAGAACAAGAUGUUGAACAUCAACAUCUGUCAAGGAUCGGAGUUCAGGGCAAGUAGAUAUGUCCUUAAAGGAUCAGUUAGAUUUCAAUCACAACUGACCUGAAAUUGGCUAGAUCAACACAUAUUUAGAGGUGCUUUGACUUCUUCUAUGUCCCUGCCUUAUAGGGAAGAAAAUAUUUAAAAAUCCACAUAAUCAUUGGUAAGUACAAGAAGACAUUCAACAGACAAAGAUUUUGAAUUUGAGGAACCAAUCUGUCUCUAGAAAAGUAAGGGGAGAAAAAACACUGAUAAACAAAUUUUACAUACCCUUUCCAGAGCAACAAAUCCCCUAAGUUGUAAGUUGAAUCCCACCAACCAGAAAAUCCCCUUGUUCGUCCACUUUAAAGAUCUAGCACGUACACACAUCAAGACUAUUAUAAGAUGCUAGUUUCCCAACAGUUUUUUGUAUCAUGAAGCUCUGAACCAUCUCAACCAAAAGGAUAUUCAUCAAUCUAAGGACAUCCAUCAAUCUAAUAGUUCAUCAUUAUUUGCAAAACACAGCUUUGCAUGAAACAAUGACACCAAACAAUAAAGAGAAAAGGACUACUGAGUCAGACAUCUGUUUUCCAUUGGAGGGGGUGCCUGACUCAAGAAGAUGGAGUUAAAGCGUGAUUGGAAUUGGAAAGGUCAUAACCACCUGAAAGAAAAUAAUCACGAAGACAUGGACAGAUGCACAUAAAAUGUGUGUAUCCAUCAACAAAUGGUUAAUUGAAAGGAAGACAUUAUUUUAAAACCAAAAGAAUUUUGGGUUUCUUAGCUUUGGUAGUAGCAUACCCGCCAUCUUCUUGUUUAAUACAAAUCAUGUUCCUAGCACUAAAACAGGAGCAUCUUCAGGCGCCUUUGCAGAAGCUUUCAGCACCAGUUAAUGAAGGUGACUCAUGAGGGAUGAUCAAAGGGCUGGCUGAGAUAUCUGAAACAGAAGACAUGUUUAUUAUUUGUCUGUGAAUAACUAGUCAGAGGCAUGUUUCGGUAUCAUUUGGGGUAUAAGUGAAUGGAUUUCAUUUUUCACCUUUAAUUUUCUAUUUCUUAUUUAUUAUAUGCUGUGACUUGUGAUGAUGAUGACUCCUAUUGUCUUUAAUUGCUUAAUCCUUCAUGACCCAUAAGCAAAAGUACAUAGUUAUUGCGGGACAAGGAAACAAGGAAAAAGAUGGUGUGAUCCCUGUAAUUCAUCACUAACAGAGUUCUGGAAAUUCCAAUUCAAGUAAUAUUUGAUCAUAUCUUGCAUAUUAGGUACUCUAACUAAGAACUUCAAUGAGAGCCAAGACUUCCUCCAAUGAGAAGAACAGGAACAUUGUCAAUUCUAAGAAAAGGAUCCUGUUUUUGAGUGGGGUACAUGACAGUGAUCUAAGUGAUCAUCCCAACAGCAACACAACGUAUACAGAAGACAUAAGAAAAACCAAAACAAGAACAAAAUGAAAUCAAAAUUAGGAAAGAAAUAAAUGCAGUAAAAUCAUAACAAAGAUGCUAUAUUCCUGUAUCCUUGCCUUUCAAAUGUGGCUAACUGCUGAUCUCUCCCUUUAUGCAAGCAGAAGCACAGUAAACACCAUCUCUGGUAAAAUGCUGACUGCAAAACCAAAACAGAGCAACCUCAGUCAAACAUGACCUAACUUAACCAAUUAAACACCAUCUUCUACUUUCCAUCUCCCUGUUCAAUACCAGUUAAGCUCUCAGGCACUAAAAGAGCAGCAUCUUCCUCACUCCACCUUCCAUCCCCAACAACCUUUGAAAUAAUUUUAUUACAAAUUAAAGCAACAAAUGCCUUAGUUAUCGAAAAGUAUAAGCCCAAAGAAAACAUACCUGUUACUUUCUGGUGGGUAUAAGAUAUCACACAUUUCAGCCUCAUACAACCUACAAAGUGAUGUAAGAACAACUUGUAAUUUGCAGAUUACAAAGAGAGUCUCCCCUGUUGUACCCUCAGAAAAUGGACCAAAGAAAUUAAAAUAUUUCUCUAACCAUAAAUUAGCUAAAAAAAAUGCACCCAUGCACCAGAUGUCACACACAACUGACCUGAACUUGGCAAGAUUGAAAUGGAAUAGUUCCCAAUGACCAGAAUUAAGAGGUGCUUUGAAGUCUUUCUUCUACAAAUACAAGAAGACCUCAAUAUGUUGUAUCAUGACAAUGUACGAGUGAAGGAAGGGGGCACAGUAGAAGAUGGUGGCAUCAAGUCAAAGGAUGAAAUUUGAGUUUGAGGCACUGGGCCAUUCCAGAUCAACACAAAUUGGACUUAAAAUAGAGACCAAAAGAAAUUGAAUGAUAGGCUUUUUGGAGGGAUCCCUUAUUCUAAUUUCAUAAAUUCUUAUAUUCUAAUUCUGUUUCAAAAUCAGAAAUGUAAAAUAAAUUCAUUUAAAUUAUUUAUAGUCACUUGAUAUAUUUCUCCUUAUCAAAACAAAAAUGUGUUUCUCAUAAGAAAUCUUUCAUGUUCUUCCUAGAUACUUAAUAUGAGACGGGAGAGGAGAAACGGUGAUUAACUUGAUAUGGAAGGGAGAAAAGAUACAAUAUCUUGAUUCUAAUUCAACUCCUUUGAAAAAAUAACUUGCAAAAGGCUCCAAAUAAACACCCAUAUAAUUCUAAAUUGUUUUCAUGCAAUGGUUAGAUCUAGAGUGUAUUUGUGAUGCAGGUAAAAUUCCAAGCACAUUUGACCAGAGAUACAAAUAGGCAAUACCUAAGGUAUUUGAAGAUGUACUAGUGUUUAAAUCACUGAUAUUCCAAAGCAAAUACAUAAACCUGCAAAACCUUUUUAGUCUUAAUAUUCAUGUAACUUAGAGGCCAAACAAGGUUAAUAAUGUCAUCAAAUUAAAUCUUUGGUAAUGGUACCUUUUUGUUAGGCAUUGCCUUACAAUAUGGAAAUGUUGCAAUUGUCCUUACAAAAUUGGCCUUUUAAGCGAAAAAUACACCAGCCUCAUAGCACCUGUAGAAUGAUGUGUAAAUGAUUGUAAGUAUGGCAGAAAGUUAAAUCUCCAUUUUUAAGGAUGGAAAAGGGAUCAACAAGUACAAAUCUAAAGUAGGCCACAAAAAAGAAAUAAAGAAAUUAAAAUGUUUAACUGACCAUAAACUACCAGAAAUUCCUCCAUGUUUGCCUGUAUCACAGAAAUAUAUGGAUAAAUUCAGGAAUCACCUCUGCCCAUUAUAAAGGUAAAUUGACCAAGCCAUUGAAAUAUUUCACUCAUCUAUGUUAAAAUGCAAGCACCUAUUGUCAGUCUUCCUCCACACCUCUUCACUUCUUUGUUUUCAGGCUUGUAGCAUAAGAGAAAAUAUCUGAAGUCAAAGGGCAGAAUUCUGCACCCUCAAAUCUCCAACAACAGGGCAGGAAAUAUUGACGCAGGGCAUAUUGUAAAUUUCCAAUGGAAUAGUCUCAGAUGUGUGUGUUUGCUUCUGCCUUUCCAGGGGGAGACUCAUGAAAUAUUGUUUGAUUGGAAAGAUCAUAGUCAUAUAUCAAGAACACAAGUCUCUGAUACGUGGAGGGCUACUUGGCACCUUGUCUGUCUCACCAUAGGCAAUGGAAUCUUACAAGUUUGUGUAUAAGGAGACUUGUGUUAACCUGAGAAACAUCAAUAUGUUACCACAAUAGAAAUGAUUAGAAAUUCAGACGCACAAGUUUGGCUACUUUAAUAAAUUGGCACGUCAGUGUUUCUUUUUUUUUUGGAGUGUAGGACAAGUACCUGACUGACUGUAUGGCACACCCAAGUCUUAAUGUAUGUGGAAUCACCACCUUCAUUAGUCACUAGUAUAGCACACGAUCUAUUACUAUGCGUGGAAUGUGAGCUAUAUAUUCCCAAUCUUGGCCUUUCUCAAAUUGGCACCUAUGCCUCAACAAAGGACAACUCUGGAUUUCCAGGAAAGAGAGCGAGUUUGGCAGUCUCUCGUUUGUCAAGUAUUGGAGAUUAUGGUAGCGGGAGAUAGACAAUGCUUUAAGAGAGGUGAGGUGUUGAAGACCUACUUCUCUCAAGGAUUCAAGCAUAGGGAGUGAGUACAUCUGUAAAUUUUCAAGAGAGGUAAGAUGUUGAAGCCCCUCUUCUCCGAAGGAUUGGAACUUAGGGCACUUGGAGAUGUAUAAUGUUGAUAGAGAGGUAAGAUGUCGAAGCCCGUUGCUGUCCAGAGACUUGAGAUUUGGAAGAUUAGAUAUGUAAAGAGAGGUAAGUGUGGAGGGCAGUAGGGACUCAUUGGGAAAUGAUUCCAUGUCUCGGCAUCCAUCAUUGAUUGUGAAUAUUGUAAGAGAGGCCAGUCUUUGCAAACCCCAAUCCACCUGAGAUGUGAGUUGGUUGCAGGAUGAAAUUUCAAGAUCACGUAGGUCGGAGGGCAAACCAUCUCUCUGAAACAACAAUUCUGGACAAUCUAUUAACCGCAAUUCCUGCAACGAUGAGUGUGUAUGCGCCAGCAACUUCAGCUUCCUACAUCUGGAGAUCUCAUAGCGUGCAGACUCGAGAGCGGGCAAUUCAAUAUAUAUCAGAUCAGGACAGUCUUCGAUAGUUAAAUAAUUAAGAGACGUGGGAUCCCUCUCAGAAACGGAGAUGGAGAGGAAUUCAAACCCUUCAAAAUCAGAGAUGUUGAGACUGUUCAACCGUGGGAAGAUGCUUAAUGAGAAAGAUAAUGAGAAAGAAUUACAGCUGCUAACAUCAGAAAUGGAUAAACGUUUAAGGAAUGGAUGGUGAGAUCUCAAUAGCGCAUGCAGGAGAAACUCCAGUUUGGUACACUUACAGAUAUGGAGUGACUUCAAUGUAGUGGGCAAACCAACACUGUGCAAGGGUCUGGAGAAACGACAACUUGUGAUGUGCAAAUGUUGGAGAAGACAUGUGCUUCUUUGUAGCAUCCCCUCCUCCAAUACCCACUCUAUCGAAUCACAUUCUCUGAUUGUUAGUAUCUGUAUUCGUGGUGGCAGUUCCUCCCAUUGAGAGAUGUGUGAAAUUUCAAUUUCUGAAGUCUGGAGAUUAGUGAACCCACAAGCUGUCCUUUUCAACCGAAAUUUACCAUGAUACGACAUUUUCCAUUCACGGAUUCGAGGAGCUCGGAGGGAGCCCAAAAGCAACUCACAAUCAAUGAUUUCAAGUUUCUUCAAUGAACGAAGCUGUUUUGGUAAUUUCCCAAUGAGUUUGGGACAUUCAUUUAUACAAAGCUUCUGAAGACGAGGGAAUUCUCCACGUCUGCAUCCACAACAUAACCAUUUCUCCCAGUUGUACAUCCUCUCGAACCUUAGAGUUUGUAGGGACGGGAAGGAGGGCUUAAUUGUGUUGGAGGAAGAAGCAUUCCCAUAAAAUUCACUACCCACCAUUUUAACUCCUUUCAUUUGUAAGAUAGAAAGAUGUUUAAGAGAGGGUAGCUGCCCGAGUGGUGGCAAUGACGAGCAAUUGUUACAAUUCUGAAGCCCCAGGUCAACAAGAUUGAAGAAUGAAGGAUCUCCUACCCAAACUGGAAAGCUUAAACCACUAAAAGAAUUAAUAUGGAGUCUCUUGACGUUUGUAUGUGGCUGUAAGCUGCUGAGUAUAUCCCUUCUAUUUUGCACAACACCAACAUCAGUGUUCUCAUUAUCCCACUCAAACUUCAACUCAUCAAGGUACUUUUUAUCCUUCAUAUUGGCUUCUAAUGCAUCCUCAUCACAUGCUACAUUCUCUAGCUUUGAAAGGACAAGACUUCCUGAAAGUUCCCUCAAUGCUCCCAAACUUAACCCACCAUUUUGGCCCACAAUAAAUGUAGAAAGGGAUUGUAAAUUCUUUAGCUUACAUAUAUCACUUGGCAUCUCUUUCACCCCGGUACCAAUAAUAUCAAGGUAACGCAAAUUAAUCAAUUUUUCCAUCCUUAAAGGUAAUUCAAUGAGAAGCACACAAUUUGAUAACAUCAUUGUUUGUAAAUUGUAUAAAUUACAAACUGAUUUAGGCAACUUUUGAAUCAUUGUCGUAGAGAGAUCCAAGUAGCGCAAGUGUUUCAACUUCUCAAUCGAAUGAGGCAAAUCAGUAAUACGAUAAUUAUUCAAACACAACACUCGUAAACAUUUCAUUUCCGGCAAUAGAUGGUGUAGAACUCUAUUACUUAAGUAUUGAUAUGCAAGGUGCCAAUAUUCGCCUCUUGCUAAAAAUGUUCGGAGAUACUUAAUUUGAGAAAGUGGGUCAAAUCUCUCAUAUACAUCAUAUGGACUAAUCAAAUACGAUAAAUGAUGAGUCUUCUCUGAGACUUUGUCCAUCUUACCAUCCUCCAAAGAAAUAGAAAAUUCUCCGGAUACCAAUUGUGCCAAGUCCUUAACAAGGUCAUGCAUUACAAAACAUGACUCAUUGCUAAUUGAAUUUUGAAAAAAUGACUUUGAUAAAAGUUCUUGAAAGUACAAAUUGCCUACCUCCUCCAUUCUUUUCUUGCUUUUUGAUUGUUCCAACAAACCUUCUGCCAUCCAUAACAAAACAAGCUUCUUCUUUUUGAAUUCGUAGUUUUUGGGAAAGAUUGAACAAUAAGAAAAACAACAUUUUAGAUGUGAAGGCAGGUAAUAAUAACUCAACCUCAGAGCAGGAAGAACCGCAUCUGUGGGCAAAUCCCAUAAUUCACUGUUUAAUACAUCAUCCCAUUCUCUUGCUUCAACCUUGGAGUGUAAGAGACUCCCCAUUGCUUUUAUAGCCAGCGGUAGACCUUGGCACUUGUGGACAAUCUUUUCUCCGAUUGCUUCUAGUUGUGGAUGCCCACUUGAGUCUCCAUUUUCAAAUGCAAGUUUUUUGAACAGGGACCAACCAUCUUCAAAGGAUAACCCACCUAAACAAUGAGUAUGGACUGCACGCAUGGCAGAUGCAACCUUGGUGCUUCGCGUAGUUACAAUAAUCUUGCUUCCCUUUGCCCCGACUAUGAGUGGAGUUCGUAGCGCAUCCCAGUCACAAGAGUCUUCGUUCCAAACAUCAUCUAGGACAAGUAGAGAUUUCUUCAUAUUAAUUCUCUCCUUCAGUUGAACCUGAAGUAGAUUUAGAUCAGUGGUAUUGGACGUGGAUGAAUUGAUUGCCUCGAGAAUUGUUUUCGUAACUCUGAUAGGAUCAAAUUCUUCGGAAACACAAACCCAUGCCUUGAGAUCGAAGUGUUUCUUCACCCUUUGGUCAUUGUAGAGCAGCUGGGCAAGUGUGGUUUUGCCUGUGCCACCCAUGCCGACUAUGGAGAUCACACCCAUGGCAUCAGUACUCCUUGCAUUAUCAGACAGCAACAGUUGAACCAUCUUCUCCUUAAUUUGAUCCCUGCCAUAGACAAGAGAUUCAUCUACCAAAGAAGUAGAAGGCCACCUUUGUGCCAAUUUCUCACCAACGCCUUCUUUCAACCCGAGGACGUCUCUGUCUCGUGCCAUAUCUUCUAGUCUAUCAAUGAUCUCCUCCACCCUAGACUCUAUGCCCCGACCAUCAAAUGGAGCGAGAACCCACGUUGACAUGUCCAUGAUGUUACCCACCUGACUUGUGCUGGUUUGGGACUCCGCAGCCUCCACCUUGUGUCGCAAAGCCUCUGUGGCGAUCUCAUCCAAUAUGUCCUCCGCAUCAUACACGACCUCUUUAAGCAAGACCAGCCACUUCUUCACAUAUGGAUUUGUAAACUGUUUGACCUCAGCAUCGUUGAGCACUGCAUGGACGACCAACAACUUCCUUUCCAACUUCUUCAGGAGCACAUCGCUGAGCUUCUGCCCCCGGAUGAAGCUCACAACCUCGCGAGAAGCCAACCUGUCAAAUAGAACUUGGAGAGAAGCUGAGAGAAACGCACCUCCAACUAAAGCCCCUGCCAUUUCUGUUUCUCUUGCAAAGGAAGUGAACGAUGAAUUGAGGGAAGAAGAAAUUACGCAGACCCAAAAUGAAACCUCCAAACCAGAAAAAGAUAGGUUUGUAUAGAGAAAAUGCAACUUGUUGGUAGUAAAAUAACUUUGGAUUCCAAGGUACUUUCGUGGAAGACCCCGUACGUCUGCUUUCUGCCAACAUCAUUGGUCAAUGAUUAAUAGUAUUGUUUCACUGGGCUUUUUUAAUGGUUGGAAAUGAUUUUCAUCCAUUGAGGUGCAAAUUAUAAUUAAUAGACUUGACAUUCACCAUGGUUAUCUUCAAUUUCUUUAGUGGAUUUGAAUACUAAUUCAUGGUGUGGGUCUUUUUUUAUUCUUUAUAAAAUUAUAAUAAAAAUGAUAACAUUUACCGUCCAAGGAUACAAUAUUUUUUAAAUUUCUUUUAUUUGGAUUUUCAAACAUAUACAAUUCAAAGGACAAAAGUAUGGAUGAAUGCACCUUUAAAAAUUCAUCUUAUUGAUAUGAAUCCAAAGGGACACUAGUUUGUAUAUAAGUAUAAAAAACAACUCAAUGCAUACACGAAAGGCACUAUUGGGCCAAAAUUCAAAGAAACAAGAGGAAACAAAUUGGCAAUGGCUUCUAUUAUGGAGAAUGGGAUCUAUGGGAUUUGGGUCAAUGAAUUUCAGAUGGACCCCGGGAAGCCAGGAAGCCUUCUUCACGCUUCCAAUUUUAUAUGAAUUUCCAUUAAAAGCAUUAUGGCCAGUUUGUUUUAAUGUGUUGACAGUCAAAGCAUGUGCCUUGUAACAUUGCGCAGAAUAUAAUAUUUUUCAUUCAGACUGUUCACAACUUGCUAAAAUCAAGAUCUGAUCUCAUACUCUCUCUUAUCUUUUAUUUUAUAAGUAUGAAAUCCAACCCUAUUAUAUUUAAAAUGGGGAGGUUCAAAUAAGUUGAUUGCCACCUUGUAGGUAUGUGACAUGCUAUGAUUGCCACCUGUAAAGAUUCGCCGUCUACUCAUGUACUCAACUGUGACCAAAGAUUCUUGAAGACACUUUUAAAACUUGUAAACGCAUUCAUCAAAAAGUUUAGCAUCUCACAAACCUUUAAAAAACCAAAAAAAAAAUGAUUUCUUUAAAACAGAAUUUCUACAAUGUAAUUAGAUUCUCAAAUUAAUCUCUUAUCUAUGUGAAUACCAAUGUCAUAAAAUGAUAAUCGGUAACUACGAUUUUAAUUUUUUUUUUAAAUGGUUAAAACCAUAAUUGAUAACUAUUGUUUUAAGAUUAAAUUGGAAGAGAUAUUCACCAACUAGGUUUUAUAUAUGUUUUAAAAAAAUUUUAAAGCCUUAGUAAUUAUGGUUUUGUGACAAAAAAAAAUUAAAAAUUAAAAAUUCUCUUGCAAUACGGAUACAUUAGUUUGGGAGCUAUUUUGUUCGAAGGUUUAGUUUGGGAUUUUUUUUAAAAUACAUUAUUUUUGCUCAAAACUCAAAAAUUCAUUUAAAGCGAUUUUUGGAUUAACAUUUGAUAAAGAAUUUUUUAAUUAUUUUUUUGCUAUUAAAAAUACUUUCAAGAUGCUUUUAUAUAUAUAUAUAUAUAUAUUUGAUUCUUAAUAAAAACAUUUAUGAUAUACAUAUUAGGUAAAGUGUUACAAAGACUAGUUUGUUGGUUAUUUGGAAGGACAUUUUGUAUAACAAAGGUGUUUAUGCCUGUUACACUAUAACAAUGUAUUAAUGAAUUAUUCAACUUUGGAUUUCAUUAUUGUGGUGGAUUUGUUUAACAAACUUUAUAAAUCAGUGGACAUUAAAUAAUUUUUUUUUUUUGUCAAAAAAACAAAAUAAAAGCAAAGAGCACCAAGUGGUAAUUAAAUAAUUAAAUAAAUUAAAAGAAAAAUAAAAAGAAGAUAAAAGAAUAGAUAAAGAGCUAAAACUUGUCCUUUACCCAAUUUAAAAUUAUAAUUUAAGUAGAUUCUUAUUUGAAAAAUCAUAACAAAUAUUGAAUUUUCAACUAAUAAUUAAACUUGUCGAAGACAUAAAAAAUUUUAAUAGAUUAAAUUGUGAUUAAAUUAGUCUUCAGAAUCAUAAUUUUUUAAUUCAACAAAAAUUGGGCUUAAAUGGAAUGGGUCAUAUAUAUUAGACACGUAACAUGUAAUUAAAAGAUGACAUGUAAUGAAGUUCAGAGGGUUAUAAAAUUAAAUUUUGUAUAGAAGAGAAUUAUAAAUAAAUAUUCUUUUGUUGAGAAAUUCCCUAAAUAAGGAAAUGAAUUUUCCAAUUGUAGUGAAAAAGGAAUUAGAAAUAAAUGUUUAUGACAGAAAUACCAGUAAAAAGUGUAAUAAGAGUAAGUAUUUAGUUAUUUGAAAGGGCAAUUAGUAUAAAAAGGGGUGAUUAUGUUUGUUUAAUGAUUGCAACAUAAAAUUGAAUUAUUGAACUUUGGGUUCCAUUAUUGUGGUGGGUUCAGUGGACUUUAAAUAAAGUUGAUAAAGGAUUUGAGACACUAGGGCAACAAUAUUUUGUCAAACAAAAAAUAAAGAUCGAGGUUAGUUUAGCUUAUCAAAGAAAAAAAAGACUAAUACGGUGUUUGGUUUUUUGGCUGAAUAAAAAAAGCCAAAUAUUUGGCUUUUUCUAUUCAGCCAAAAAACAAACACCACCUUAGUUAGACAUCAGUUUUCCAUUGAAGGUGGUACCCUAAGAAGAUGGAAUUAAAAAGUGAUUUGAGUUUGAUGCUUUACUUCUUGGUGACAUGAUUCUAAAUUUUCAGGUGCACAAAGACAUUUUUAGAUAUAAGCACUACCUAUCAAAAAAUGUUUAAACCUAUGCCAUUCAUAAAUUAUGAUCCCUCCUAUGUGUCGUUACCGUGCUCAAGAAAACCAUUACUACCCUACUUCCUUUCGCUACCACCAUCCUUAAUAUUUCGAAAUUCUAUCCCAUAUUUUACAAGUAAACAGACCAAUUCCACAUGCUUUCUCACAUUAGUCUGAAUCAUCAACCACUGAAAAGUGAUUAACAUCAAUGAAUCAAAUGUUUAUACAGAAAAAAAAUCUAAUAACCAAUUUAAGAGCAUAACAAUAAACAAUUUGUUCUAAAGGGUACAGAGGAAAUCACAAUUCACCAAUAUGAAUAUGAAAAACAAUAGCAACGCAUCCUCUGCACUUUCAACACUCUUUCCCUCGCAGAGAAACUGAAUGCAAUAAAAUCACAGUAAAGCCACAAGCUUACACAUCAAGAAAAUGUGCAUAAGAAUGUAUGCAUCCAUUAAAAAAAUGUUAGCUUCAAAGUAAGAUAUCAUUUUGCCACCAAAAAGACUUCAAGUUUCUUAGCUUUGAUAGGUGUGUUAGAAUUAGAAGCUGGAUUUGCAGCUGCUGCAACCUUGGUGGCCUCCCGCGCUCUCUCUUAUCAAGCUGAACCAGGCUCGUGUGGCCAAAAUUGCCAAUGGAAGCAAAUCGUGAGAAGCCCUGGCAUACAAACACCUCACUGCCACUGAUGUGGCAUCUUUCACAUCUUGAAAAUUGUGAGGAGCCAACAGACAGUGGCCAAUAAUUUGCUAUGUGGGCUGCAAAAGCUCCCAAGGCAGUGAUCUGAGUGAUCAUCCCAACAGCAACACUAUGUAAGGGUACAUGACAGUGAUCUACGUGAUCAUCCCAAUGGCAACACUACGUAUAUAGAAGACUUAAGAAAAACCAAAGCAAGAACAAGAUGACAUAAGAAUUAGGAAAGAAACAAAUGCAGCAAAUGCAUAAAAAAUAUGUUAUAUUCCUAUAUCCUUGCCUGUUAACUGUGGACUAAUCGGUGAGCUCUCCCUGUAUGCUAGCAGAACAGAGCAACCGCAAUCAAGUAUGAUCUGACUUAACCAAUUCAGUACCAGAAACAUAGAAGAAAUUGUAGUAGUGUACUUGCCAUCUCCCUAUUUGAUGCAAGUUAAAGUUUUCAGGCAUUGAAAGAGCAGCAAUCUUCCUCCCUCCAUCUUCCAUCCCCAACAACCUUUGAAAUAAUUUUAUUACAAAUUAAAGCAACAAAUGCCUUAGUUAUUGAAAAGUAUAAGCCCAAAGAAAACAUGCUUGUUUCUUUUUGGUUACGUAUAAGUUAUCACACAUUUCAAUCUCAUACAACCUACAAAAUGAUGUAUGAACAACUUGUAAUUUGCAGAUUAAAAAGAGUCUCCCCUGUUGUGCCCUCAGAAAAUGGACUGAUGCAGUAAAUGUUGAUAGAUUAGUCUAUGGAACAUAAUUAGAGCCUCAUGAGUAUAUACAAUAAGACAAGUCACAUAUUAUACCCGGAGAGCUGAUUGGCACGGUGUUAUGACCAUAGGCAAUGACAUCUUAAAAAGUUUGUGUAUAGGGAGACUUGAUACCAAAACCAACAAUCCAAUCUUAGUCUUGAAGUACAAGAUGUUGAAGAUCCACUUUUGUCAAGGAUGGAGCUUAGUUGGCAAGAUUGAAAUGAAACAAUUCCCAAUGACUAGAACUUAGAGGCGCUUUGACUUCUACAAAUAGAAGAAGACCUAAAUAUGUUGUAUCAUGACAAUGUAAGGGUGAAGGAAGGGCGCAAAGUAGAAGACAGUGGCAUCAAGCCAUUCCAAAUCAACACAAAUAGGACUUAAAAUAUUAACCAAAACAAAUUGAAUAAUAGGCUCUUUGGAGGAUCCCUUUUUUUAAUUUCAUAAAUUCUCAUAUUCUAAUUCUAUUUCAAAUAAGUCACAAAAAUAAAACUUGAAAACAAAUCAAUAAAUAUUCUUAUAGGGUUUAAGACAUUUUUAAAACUUGAAAACGCAUUCACUAAAAAAUAAAGCAUCAAACCAAGCUUUAAAAAAAAUUUAAAAAUCAAAGUUUUAGGCAAAAAUGAUUUCUUUAAAACAAAAAUUCCACAAAGUAAUUUGAUUCUCAAAAUCAUUUAUAAAUUAGUGUGUCAUAAAACUAUAGUUUUAAUAUUUUUUUUAAAAUGGUCAAAAUUGUAGUUGGUGAUUAUGAUUUUAAACUUAAAUUUAAAAUCAUGAUCAUUAACUACGGUUUUAUAUAUGUUUAAAAAAUUUUCAAAAUUAGUAAAUACAGUUUUGUGACUAAAAAAAAAAAAAGUUCUUAGGCCUUGUGGAUAUUUAAGUAGCUAAGAUGCGUUAGUUUGAGAAUUAUUUUGGUAAGAGGUUUAGUUUGAGAUUUUAUUUUUAUUUUUUAAGAUAUAGUAUUUUUGCUCAAAAUUCAAAAAGUCAUUUAAAGUGAUUUUUGAAUUAAUAUUUGAUAAACAUUUCUUUUAAAAAAUAUUUUUUUGUUAUUAAAAAUACUUUCAAGGUGCUUUUUUUCUUAUUUAUAUUCAAAAUAUUAAUUUUGAUUCUUAAUAAAAAUAUUUAUGAUAGAAAUAUUAGGUACAAGUAUUGCAAAGUGUAGUUUGUUGGUUAUUUGAAAGGACAUUAUAUAUAACAAGGUGUUCAUACUUAUUGUAUUAUUGAAUUAUUGAACUUUGGAUUUCAUUAGUGCGGUGGAUUUGUUUAACAAACAUUAGAAAUCAAUGGACAUUAUGUUGUGAAAAUCAUGAAAAAGAAUAAUAAUAGGGAGAAAAGAAUAAGAAAAAGGAUAACAAAACACACAACGAUUUAUGUGGUUCGACCUUAAGCCUACAUUCACGGGCGAAAACGAAGAACUUUUACCAUGGUUUUAGAAUACCGGAUUGGACCGGCUGAUCCGACUGCCGACUGGUCACUGUUCUGGUCCGGUCCAACCAAUUGGACUGGAAUGGUAUUGAACCGAAGUCGGACCGAACCAGCGGUCCAACCGGUAAACCGGACGAAUCUGCCGGUUCGGAUAUUCGAUUAAAAUUAUUUUUUUCCUCCCAUUGUUGUUGUCCCUCGUUGGCAACACCCCUGUGCUAGAAAAACUUCCCCUUUUUGCCCAUCGAAACCCACCCCCGCGCUAGAAACCCCAUUUUUCCAUGACCCCGUUGGAACCUCCGCCCCCAUCCCCGCUGGAAAAGCUUUCAUUUUUUGCCCUUUGGAACACCCCCACACGACUCCCAGGAACCCCCACCCACACCCUGUGCCGAAAAAGCCAACCCCCUUCUUCCUUCCCCCCAAACCCUCCUCUUAGCAACCCCCACUGGAACCCCCACAUUGGAAAAAGUAUUCCCUUUUUGCCUGACCCUCUCAUCCCUUAUUCCAGGUUGUUUUAUUUUUUUUAAUUAUUUUUUAUCUCAUCUCUAUAUUAUUUAUUUAUUUUUAAAUUUAUUAUUAUUUUACUUCAUGUUUAAAACUUAUGAUUUUAAUUUAAAUUAAUAAAAAAAUUACCAGCUUAAAUCAAUUUCUGAUUUUAAAAUAAGUUUUUUAAUUUAAAAAUGGAUUUUAAAUUUUAAAUUUGAAACUAAUUUUUUGAUUUUCAAAUAAAAUUUUAAUUUUUAAAUAAUGUAUAAAUUAUUAUUUUUAUUUUUAUAAUUAUUUUAAAUUUUAAUAAUUUAUAAAUUAUAUAUUUAUGACGUCAUCGGUUCGAUCGCAGUUCGAUUGUCGGUUCGACCAGUGAACCGUGAACCGAUAACUUUUCCGGUUCUGAAAACAUUGACUUUUACUAUUGUUAAAGGAUAUUACAACUCUUAAAACUCUCAAAUCCUAAAACCCCAAUUUAUACCUAAAAAAAGACUUACUAUUUUGGUCAAAAAUCUCUUCCUAUAUUUUUUCCUAAUUACAAAAGAAGUUUCUAUAUAGGAAACAAAGUGUAUAAUUGUCAAAGAUACCUUUUCCUAAAUAGAAGAUUUCAUAUUAGGAUAUUUCCUAUAAUAAUAGGAAACCCACUUUCAAGAAUAUUUUCUAUUAGGAAACUAUCAAUAACUUUCCAAAUUGACUCAAAAUACAAUUUGAGACACUUUCCAACAAUCUCCAUCUUGGCUCAAAUUCCCAAGAUUAAAAUAAACUUGAAAGUCUUCAAGUUACUUCUCUCCCACAUCCUAUAGGGGUCUUCAGAUACUACUAACACCAAUUAAGUCAAAGCAAUGCUUGAACUUAAUUAUAGGAAUAGACUUAGUCUUCAUAUUUGCAGGAUUGUCCAUUGUAGGGAUUUUUUUUUCAUUACAAUAGCACCAUGUGCAGUCAUAUCCCUAAUAAAAUGCAUUCUGACAUCAAUAUAUUUGGUCCUCUCAUGGAACAUCUAAUUUUUAGUCAAAUGUAUGACACUUUGGCUAUCACAAUACACAACAAUCAACUCUUGUUGUAAGUCUAAAUCACCAACCAAACCUUUAAGCCAAACAACUUUUUUCACUGCUUCUGUGGCUACCAUGUAUUCUACUUCAGUGGUUAACAAAGCAACUAUAGAUUGUAAAGUUGCUUUCCAACUAAUAAUACUACCACAUAAAGUAAAUACAUACCCUGUUAGAGAUUUUCUUUUAUCCCAAUCUUCAUCAUAAUCAAAAUCAACAUAACCAACAAUUUCCCCAAAGAUGUCAAUAUUUUUAUCAUAUACUAAGCCAACAUGUGUGUUCCUCUCAAGUAUCGAAGUAUCCAUUUCACUACUUGCCAAUGGAUAUUUCCAGGGUGAUCCAUAUAUCUACUCACCACACUAACUGCAUGUGAAAUAUCUAGCCUAGUGCAAACCAUGACAUAUAUAAUGCUCCAAACUACACUAGCAUAAGGAACAUGUGACAUGUACUCUCUCUCUUCUUUAGUUUGUGGUAAUAAAGCACUAGAAAGUUUGAAGUGAGCUAUGAAUGGAGUACUCACUAGUUUUGAACCUUGCAUUCCAAAGUGUUUUAAUAUUUUCUCAAUGUACUUUUUAUGUGACAAGUACAAUUUUCCUUCUUUUUAGUCCCUAUGGAUCUCCAUAUCCAAUAUUUUCUUCAUAGCUCUAACGUCUUUUAGUUCAAACUCUUCUUGACGUUAAGUUUUCAAACUGUUGAUCUCAGACAUAUUCUUGCAGGCAAUUAACAUGUCAUCAACAUAUAACAAUAAAUAAAUGAAAGAACCAUCAAACAAUUACUUCUGACAAACACAAUUAUUAUACUCACUUCUAUGGUAGUCAUUACCAAUCAUAAAAGUAUCAAACCUUUUAUACCAUCACCUAGGAGAUUGCUUUAAACUAUAAAGAGAUUUCUUCAAUAAACAAACAUGGUAUUCCUUUCCUAAAAUGAUGAAUCCUUCCGGUUGAUGCAUAUAAAUUUGUUCUUCCAACUCACCAUGUAGAAAAGUAGUCUUGACAUCAAGUUGCUCUUACUGUAAAUUAAAUAAAGUAACCAUAGCAAGUAACACUCUGAUUGAGUUAUGCUUCACAAUCGGAGAAAACACUUCAUUAAAGUCCACACCCUUUUUUUGUGAGUAGCCCUUUGCCACCAAAUGUCUUUAAACCUAGCAUCCUCCACUCCUAGAAUUCCUUCCUUUCUUUUGAAGACCCAUUUGCAACCAACAAUCUUUUGAUUUUUAGGUUUCUCAACUAGUUGCCAAGUAUGGUUCUUUUGAAGAGAUUCUAUCUUCUCAUUCAUAGCAACAAUCCACUAUGUAGACUCUCUACUAAUGAUGGCUUCGUGAUUAGUUUAAGGUUCCUCAUUUGCAAUGCUCUUUGCCACAUUAAGUGCAUAAACAACCAAAUAUGCAUAAGCAUACCUUUGUGGUGGUAUAAUAUGAAUCCUUAUUCUAUCUUUAGCCAAAUAAUAUUGAUGUUCUUGUGGUGCAUUUUCUUUAUCAUUAAAAUGUUGCACUUCUUCCUUCUUUAACUUUAUUGAAAUCGUUUUUUCUAUGGUUUCUAAAGCUUUAGUCACAAACUUCACCAUUUUUUUCUCACAUCAGGGUCGUUUUCUGUAUGAAAUUGCUCCUUUCUAGGACUCAACAUUGCAGACUCAUUAAAAGUCACAUCCCUAUUAAUAAGAAAUUUGGAAAAAUUUAGAUCUGGGCACCAUUACUUAUACCCUUUCACUCCAUCGACAUAUCCUAAGAAUAUGCACUUUCUUGCCCUUGGUUCCAACUUACCUUCAUUCAUAUGAGCAUAAGCAGGACAACAAGAAAUUAUUAAAUUAACAUAAUUAGGAGAACCACACCAUACCUCUUCAGGAGUCCUACAAUUAAUAGGAAUUGAAGGAGAUCUAUUCACAAGAUAUCAAGUUGAAUUUACUACUUUAGCCCAAAAUUCCUUUGACAACUCUACAUUCGAAAGCAUGCAUCGAGCUUGCUCUAAAAGAGUUUUAUUCAUCCGUUCUAUCAACUUUCUUUCACUCAUAUGCCUAAGCCGCAUAUGCCACAAUCUAGUAAUCUUUAUAAUUGAUUUUGAGGUUGAAACUGCAACUGCACCUGUUACCGUGCUACCCUACUAUGUAUAAAGACCAUUAAUUUUCUUUCCGUUCAUCACAACAAGACCACCCUUUGAAACCCUCAAAACUCCACCUCUAGCUUUAUAUAUGCAUCCAUUGGAGUCAAGUGUCCUUAAAAAAAUCAAAUUUUUGUUCAAUUUUGGAACAUGCCUUACAUUAGUUAAUGUCCUUAUAAUGCCACCAUGCAUCUUAAUUUGAAUUGUGUGUAUCCCAACAACCUUACAAGCUACCUUGUUUCCCAUGAGAACUUUCCCACCAUCUAUGGGUUGGUAGGUACUAAAUCAAUCCCCAUUGGGAGACAUAUGAUAGGAGCACCCUGAAUCAAGAAUCCACUCAUCAUCUAAGUUUGUAAUAGUAACUAAAAGAACAUCUGUAGUAUUUGAAUUUUCUUUUGUAAAUGUUGCAUCACCAGAAUUAUAAUUUCUCUUAUUUUCUUUUCCUUUACGAUCUGGACAAUUUUUCACAUAGUGCCCUUCUUUUUUACACUUGAAACAUUUGUUGUUUCCCCUGGACUUUGAUCUAGAUCGACCUCUUCUACCAUUAUUUUUCUUUCUUGUUCUCCCUCUAGCCACCAAACCUUCACCUGAGUCAUAUUUUCUACUUUUGAACACCAUUUUCUUCAACUCCCUUGAGUUCAAGGCUACUCUAACAUCCUUUAUGAAGAGAGUACCUCUACCAUACAUCAUAAUAUCUACGAAGUGCUCAUAAGAAUUUGGUAGGGAACACAUUAAAAAUAUGGCUUGGUCUUCAUAAUUAACUUUAACAUCAAAGUGGUCUUUCAUGGACAUACUUUCUUUCAUCUGAAGAGUGUGCAAUCGCUUCUUUAAAUACAAACGAUUUUUUAGAGACUUCGUCAUGUGCAGACUUUCUAGCUUCAACCAUAACUUGGCAGUUAUAUCUUCUUCUGCAAUCUCACGAAGCACCUUAUUACCCAAACACAAUAGAAUAGCACUAUGUGCUUUCUCCAUAGGUUCAUCAUUCUUUUCAUCAAACAUCAUUGUUGGUAGAGUCUUUAUACCUUUCAAUGCUUUGGACAACCCCUAUUGAACCAAUAAGGCAGGCAUCUUAAUGCGCCACAAAUUGAAAUCGUUUCUUCCAUCAAACUUCCCAACCUCAAACUUUGUCGCCAUUCUAGGUCUAAUAACCUUAGCUUUGAUACCAAUUUGUUGUGCAAAUCACUAGAAAUAAUAAUAAUAAGGAAAAAAGAACAAGAAAAAAGAAAACAAUACACAACGAUUUACGUGGUUCGACCUUAAGCCUAUAUUCACAGGCAAAGAUGAAGAAAAACUUUUACUAUUGUUAAAAGAGAUUACAAUUCUUGAAGUUCUCAAAUCUCAAAGCCUCAAUUUAUACCCAAAAAGAGACUUACUAUUUUGGUCAAAAAUCUCUUCUUAUAUUUUUUCCUAAUUACAAAGGAAGUUUCUAUAUAGGAAACAAAGUGUAUAAUUGUCAAAGAUACCUUUUCCUAAAUAGAAGAUAUCAUAUUAGGAUAUUUCCUAUAAUAAUAGGAAACCCACUUUCAAGAAUAUCUUUUAUUAGGAAACUAUCAAUAACUUUCAAAAUUAACUCAAAAUAUCAUUUGAGACACUUUCCAACACAUUGAAUAAUUUUUUUUUUCAAAAAAAGAAAGACAAAAGCAAAGAGCACCAAGUGGUAAUUAAAUAAAUAAAAAUAAAAAUAAAAGAAGAUAAAAGAAUAGAUAAAGAGCUAAACUUGUUCUCAGACUAGAUUUAAAAAUAUAAUUUAAGUAGAUUCUUAUUUGAAAAAUUGUAAGAAAGCUUAACGUUUGAAGUACAAUAGUAAAUUUCCAAUUGAUAAUUAGAACAUGUUGUAGAGAUCAAAAUUUUUAGUAGAUUAAAUUGCGACUAAAUUAGUCUUUAAAAUCAUGGUUUUUAAUUCAACAAAAAUUAGGCUUAUAUGGAAUGGGUUAUAUGUAUUAGACACGUGGCAUGUAAUUAAAAGAUGACAUGUAACAAAAUUCAGAAGGUUAUAAAACUAAGCUUUGUAUAAGAGAGAAUUAUAAAUAAAUAUUCCCUUGUUGGCAAAUUCCCUAAAUAAGGAAAUAAAUUUUCCAAUUUAUGUUAAAAGAGAAUUAUAAAUAAAUAGUCUCUUGUUGGCAAAAGAAUAAGAAAAGUUACUAAAAUCAAGAAACCAAAUUCUUUGAAUUAAACAAUUAAAUCUAUAGGAAUCAAAAUUCAAUUUUCUAUUUCCAUCUAUAAAUAAUGGCUACUGCCUUCAAAGAAGAGGAUAGGAAAAAUAAUUUCACAUAGGAAAAUAAAAUCUACGACAAGAAAAAGGUUUCUUAAAAUAUCCUUACAAGUUUGAGAAAUCGAAUAAGUUUUGUAGACACAUUCUUCAUUAUUCAAUGAAUUCAUUCAAGAAGUCAAUAUAAGCCUUCGAUUGAUUUUAAAAUCAGGAAAACACUUUCAUCGUCAUCUUUUGAAUUGUGAUUAAAGUGAAUGAAUCAAAGAAAAAAAAUUCUUUAUAAAGAAUAUUAUCACAAAAAUUGUAUUCUACAAUUAUUUUAUCCUAUAAUUAUUUUAAUACAAAGUUUUGUUUGCAUAUUUAUUUUUUCUAUAGUUUGGCUUAUUUUGCAAGACUUUUCAAAAUCUAUGCAUACAAAUUUCUAGCCAUUAAGAUGGGAUAUCUUUGUCUCUCAUCUUUUUUAGUAAAAAAAUUGAUCACUAUUAAGACGAUCACAUAAAAAAAAGGCUCAAACUAUGUAUGUUAACAAGGACUAGAACAAGAUUGUUAUUGGACCCUUCUAAAGAGGCAUGAAUUGAAGAAAUUGUUGAAAUGAUGAGUAGAUUUUCAAAGGAUUGUGAGGAAGCCUCCAACAUCGACAAGCUUCAAGCGAGGAAAGCAGUUAUGAGUAGGAUGUUGGUGAAGAGCCUGCAAGUUGGGGAUGCUGUGUUUGAGAGAAUAUCCCAUGCUGUUUAUUUGGCUGCAAGAGGAGUAGUGCUUGUAGGGAAUGGCCCUCAAGGAAGAAAAUUAGCAGAAAUGGCACUCCAGUUGGUGGGAACCGUUGAUCUGACUAAUAGAGUGGUGGCAGCUGCUGAAAUAUUGGUGGCAGCAGCCACGGUGUUGGUUAAUGUUCAUGGGCAAUGGUAUACAUAUCUGACUGAUAACAUGUGACUAGUUUGACAUGAAGAAGAAUGAAUUUAAUUACAAGGAGGAAAGAAGAAAAUAAUGCACACACCUGUACAUAGUGGUGGAUGUACAUUUAUGUUUUAAGUAUGAACACAGGAUGGAAGGUUGUUAAUAUGAAAAAAUAUUUCAUGAAUGGGAGAGGGAUGUUGUAAAUAAUAUUUAUAACUGAAUUGAAUGUUUUUUUUUUUCUAUUCUGAUUCAACUACCUUUAUUUUCUGUCCAGACUCCAGAGAAAUAAAGUUUGUAUGUCUGUCUGUCUGUCUAUUAAUAACACUUGGGAUAUAAAUAAUUGCUUUCAUGUUUCAUAUGCUAAGUUUCUCUUUCAUUUUGUGACUUGUGAUAUAUUGGAGAUAAAAGUUGAAGUAUUCGAAGAUCCACUAGAAUCGGAGAUCCACCAGAAUCAGUGUAUGUUGCUGUUAGUGCUAUUGCGCGCAUCAAAUUUGAAUUAUUCAAAGAUCCAACUGAAAGUUCUCUAUAUAAUCAUACACGCUGUAUACACUAAAGUAUGAAUGGAAAUAUAUUUUCACUCUUUCCUCUGUUAAGUUUUACAUGAUAUGACCUAUAACCAAAAGUUCAUAGUUGUUAGAAUGGAUUUGGUUCAGGUAAGGAAGGAUGGAAACAAGGCAAAAGCUUGUGUAAUCUCUGAAAUCAUCAAUAACAAAAGCUUGUUUAACCACUUUUUUGCAUAUUAGGUACUUUAGAAAUAAGAACUUGUGAAGAGGAGUGAAUUUUCUUUUGCAUGAAGAGAGUGGAUAAGCUCAACAUAACACCAUUCUUCAUUCUUUUACAAAAUUAGGAAUUUUAAAUGUGAAUGAAUCAAGUUACAGUAUUCUUCAUGAUGUAUCAGUCUUUCUACUAGCUAAUAUAAACAAUGAGAGCCAAGAUUAAAAUUGGAAUUCCUUCAAUGAACAGCAGUAACUUCCUCACUCCGGUGCUCCCCACCUUCCAUCCCCAACAAUCUUUGUCAUAGUUUUAUGACAAAUUAAAGCUACAAACACCUUAGCUACUGAAAAAUAUAAGCCAAACGAAAACAACCCUGUCACUUUCUGGUUAGCAAUAAGAUAUCAUACAUUUCAACCAAAUUGAACCUACAAAAUGAUUUAAGAACACAAUUUGUAAUUUGCAGAUUGGAAGGAUAGUCUCAAAUCAUAUAACUUAAUUUUUAGGGAAAUUGGUUGUUUAACAAGAUUGACGGUUCAAGUGGUCCACUGGGUAAGAUUGUUCAAUUUCUCAAUACUAGGAUGAUUGGUCGAUAUUCCAACAGGUUGAAUUAUCCAAUUGGGUUCGAUUUUUAAAACCUUAAUUAAUAAGAAACUACAUGCAAUUUCUAGAUGGAUUAUGAUUCUUGUAUCGAAUUUCAAUAGAAUCGUUAAUGCAUAAAGUUUUUUUAUAUAUAUAGAUACUAUGGAUUUGUUUGGCAAAUUUUGAAAAACAAUUCUUAGUUAUUUUGAGGAAUAAAAUUAUAUUUGAAAACCCAAAUAUGAAAAAAAAAAAAGAAAAAAAAGCUUUAUUAAUUUAUUUUUCACAAAAGUAUCGUGUAUUUAUGUAUAAUUCAAAAGUUUUUAAAAUAUUUUACAUUUUUUCAAUUGUUACUCACAACUCAAGCAUGCACAAAAAAUAACUAAAAACAUCUCAAAUUUAUUAUAAAAAAACUUAUUUUUAGAAUACAUUCUCAAAAAAUUAUUUUGUAUAAAAAAUGUUCUAUAAAAAUAAAAAACAAUUUUAAAAAAUCAUUACUAAGCAAGCCUAUGCUACUGUGGAUGCUUUGGACAAAAUGAAAAAGAAAAAUGGUAAUUUCCAAUACCAUUUGAAAUCAUGAAAAGACCAUAACCUUGCAUACAAUAUAUGGGUCAAGGUCUUUAAAAAAAAUAAUUUCUUUUUAUUUGGAUAUCUAACUUGGGAUUCAAGGUUUAAUUAGGAAUUUGGUCAUUCACCACCAUUUUCAUUGGUUGAAAUUCUUUGGUAGAAUUACUAUUAAAUUAUAUAUUUUAGUUGCUUGAAUAUCUUUAUUUAAUAAGGGACCAUGGGGUGUUAUGUAAUCCAAGUAGAAAUCAAUGAUAACUCUUUGAGCAAUUGUUUAGCCUACAUGUUUUCUUUUUUCAUUUUUCAUUAAGACAACAUUUGGAGCAUCAAAUUAUGGUUCCCCUCAUUGGAUUUCAAAAUAUUUUACAUUUCCCCACUCUUUGUAUUUUCAUCCUAAAUCAUGAGCUAUUUUGUUUCAUCUGAUGUCUCCCACUCUUCCUCGUAUCUACACCCUAAACCGUAAACCUUUUUACUUUAUUAGAUGUCUCUUACUCCUUUUCAUAUCUCUAUCCACAAUAUGUAGUCUGUACAAACUGACCUCUAUCAUAUCUCUUCUCAUAACUUUUUUAACUUGAUUAUAACCUAGAAUAUUUAUAGAGAUACUCCUAUUUGCUUUACUAAUCUUAUAAAGAAUUUAAUUACAAUUGCAUAUCAACUGGGGAAACAUUUUAUAUAAUAUUUCUCUUUGACCGUUGGAUUUGUAAUCUGCUUCAACUUGGCAUCAUUGAGCAUAGCAUGGACAAACAACAGUUUUCUCUUCAACUUCUUGAGGAGUGCAUGAUUGAGCUUAUGCCCCGUGAAGAAGUUGAGCACCUCACGAGAAGCUGACCUAUGAAAUAGAAAUUGGAGAGAAGCUGACAUAAAAGCACCUCCAACCAAAGCCCCAUCCAUGUCUGUUUCUCUAGCAAAAGGAAGUGAAAGAUGAAUCGAGGGAAGAAAGUAAGCACACCCAAGAUGAAACCUCCAAACUAGAAAAGAUUGGUUCAAGCGAAAUUUCCAACGGUUGAAUGAAUUAUUGGACAUCGUGGUAGAGCCCAGACUUCUAUAUUGUUGACAAAACAUCAUAGUUCAGUGGUCCAUGAAAAGAAUACGAGGAGAAAGGAAGAAAGCAGAAGGGGAUGUAAACGAAAGUCAUACAUGCAUAUGUAAACUUACAAAUCCUAUAUCCUUUUAUCAAUAAAACAGUUGAAAUAUUUUACCAUUUUUAUAUUAAAUCAUGAUAAGAAUAAAAUGUAAAUUUAUUAAUAUUUUUAUUUUAUUAGUCCAUAAAUUAUAAUAUUCAAUAUAUUCAUUUUAAAUCAUUAAUGUUAGUAAAAAACAAUGUUUGAGGGCCAACCUAUUUUUAAUUGUUCUUUCUAGAAAAGCAUGUUUUUUACACAAAAAUUCCAAAGCCAGACAAAGAGGUGUCUUUGAACUUUCAAACAGUUGGGAUCCACUGCUUUCAAUGUUUGAGAAAAUAAUAACAAAUGAUCUUGUUGACUGCCACUUUCAUAUUAAAGGGGAAAGCAAAUGAAACUGAUUGCCACUUUCAUAUUAAAGGGGAAAGCAAAUGGGGACAUCGUACAUCUAAGGUCUUGUUAACUGGUAAUCUAAAUUGUCUAUCACUCCACGUUUGGGUAUGAAGCUACACAUGAUGGAGGGUAUUAAAAGCAUAAUAUGCAUAUUGAAUUUAAAUCAUAAAAAUUUAAAUUUUUAGAAAAAUUAGUUGUUUAACAAGAUUGAUAGUUCAAGUGAUUCUCUGUCAAUUUAAAUGAUGACAUUGUUCAAUUUUUCAAUGGUAGGAUGAUUAGUUAAUAGUCCAACAUGUUGAAUUGUCCAUUUGGAUUCUACCUUCAAAAUCUUAACUAAUAAGCAAUCACAUGCAAUUUCUAGAUGGAUAGUGAUUCUUGAAUUAAACUACAACAGAAUCAUUAGUGCAUCAAAAAUUUUUAUAUAUAGAUAUUAUGGAUAUAUUUUGUAACAUUUUCUAACAUUUUCAAAAGCUAUUUUGAGGGAUAAAAUUCUAUUUGAAAAUGAAAAUAUGAAAAAUAGUUUUAUUGGUUUAUUUUUCAUAAAAGUACUAUAAUUCGAAAAGUUUUCAAAGUAUUUAACAUCUUUUCGAUUGUUAGUUACAACUCAAGCAUGCAUAAAAAAUAACUAAAAACAUCUCAAAUUUGUUAUAAAAACUUAAUUUUAGAAUAAAUUCUCAAAAAAAAUAUUUUCUAUCAAAAAAGUUUUAUGAAAAUAAAAAGCUAUUUUCAAGAACCAUUACCAAGCAAGCCUAUGUUGCUUGGAUACUUUGGACAAAAUGAAAAAAAAAAUGGUAUUUGUAAUACUAUUUGAAAUCAUAAAAAGACCAUAACCUUGCAUACAAUAUAUGGGUCAAGGCCUUUUCAAAAAAAUAAUUUCUUUUUAUUUGAACAUUCAACACCAUUUUCAUUGAUUGAAAUUCUGUCGUAGACUAGGUUGUUGGUUGUUGACUUGGGAAUUCACAUCAACCCAUAUGGACUUCAGAUUCACCCACCAGAGAUGAAUGAAAAUAAAGGCAAAUAUGAAAGGCAAGUGGUGGCGGUAGGAAGACUCUUAUCAAUAACUUUUGUCAAGUACUGGAGCUUAGGGCGGCUGUAGACAAAUGUCAUCCUGAAUCUUAUCAAUCCCUGUUACUGACUGUUGGGGUUGUAGCUUAAGAAAAUAUCUUCAAUCAAUCAAAUGAUGCAUCCGCAAAUCCAAGUCUUCAGCAAAUUUCAAAUCAUUAUUCACAUCACAAUCUUUAUUGAACCCAUGUGCAAGCAAGGAGGCUGCUCGUGCGGUUAGGUGUUAACAGGGUUAGCCCAAUUUGUUGAAUUUGUAGUUUAACAUCCGCACACGCAUUCUUUCCACAUCAUUUGAUGGCCCUUUAUAGAUUAUCUAUAAAUUCAUAGUACUUAGGAUUUGAGGGCCACGAAGGGAAAAAGGACAGUGGUAAAGAACAAAUCAUUGUUGGAAUUGAUAUGGGUGAAUGGAAAUUAAGAUUUUUUUUUUUUUUUAUUUUAUAGAAGAUAUAUUAUUUUUAAUAGACACAACUUCUUUUUAAAGGAUAUGUCAUGUAUUUAAAAUACACGUUCUCUUCCAAAGGACGUGUUUGGUGUCUUAAGACAUAACCCAUCAAAAUAUGUGUCUAGUAUUCUAAAGAGGUCUCUCUAAAGGUCCCCAUCAAAUUAUAAAUAGGGAUCCUCCAUGACAUUCAUUCAUUCAUCCAUUCUCUUCACUCUUUCUCCUUUCUUAUAAUUCAAGUCCUCCUUAGCUUCGAGUCUGAUCAAUUUUUUUUUCUACCAAAUAUUUCGUAUUUAAGAGAGUACAAAUUGCCAAGUGAUUCACUAUUUUUUAUGAUUUAGAGUGCUACUAUAACAAGAAAGUGAUCGUUGUAUAUGUCCUGAGAGAUGAUUGUCAAUAAACCAUAAACACUUGAAUGAAACAAAUUUGUCUUGAAGGAUAAAAAGUCAAACUCUAGCCUCAAUCAACCUUAUUUGUGAGUUCUAAUUUUUUACUUCAUUUUAUUUGUACAUUUAUUAUACACAUUUAUUAUUCAUAUAUUUUCAAUGAUUUGGAUAACAAGUAGAACUGUAAUUAGCUUGGUCCUUGAGAAAUAUUUGUUGGGCACACUUCCAUCAUUUAGCCUCAACCAAAAUCCUCAACAUGUCAAAACUAUGUUGUACAAAAUUCCUUACGAGUUAAUAUUUGUCGACAUACUUCUGCCAUGAAUAUAUAAGCCGAUGGUAUUAGAGUUCUCCACAUUACUGAGACAAAUGGGCUCCUGCCUUGAAACAGUUGAUUUUUCCAAGAAAAGGAAAAUUUGUCCUAGUCAAGUUCCAAUGACCCAUCCUUAUAUUUGCUUGCUCAUUUAUUCAUUUCUGGAGUUCAUUCUUUUUCUCCUUAAUUGUCUAAGGACUGAUGGAUGCUAAUCUCAAAUAAUGUAAAUGCAGCAUUCUUGUUUGUCGACAAAUCCUCAUGAGUGAGCUAGCACUAGCCAACCCUGUGGAGAUGGAAAACAUUGUAGUUAGGUGUGGCGAAUAAGUCAUAGAGCUCCUGGACCGUUCUGAACAGGCAGGAAUUGAAGAAAUUGUUGAAAUUAUGAGUGGAUUUUCAAGAGAUGGUGAGGAAGCCUCCAACAGCAACAAGCUUCAAGCGAGGAAAGCAGUUAUGAGCAGGAUGUUGGUGAAGAGCCUGCACCCAUGUUUGAGACAGUAUCCCAUCCUGUUUAUUUGGCUGCAAGAGGAGUAAUGCUUGCAGGGAAUGGCCCUCAAGGAAGAAAAUUAGCAGAAAUGGCACUAUGGCCGAUGGGAGCUGUCGAUCAGACUGAUAGAGUGGUGGCAGCUGCUAUAAUAUUGGUGGCAGCAGCCAUGGUAUCAGUUAAUUUUCAUGGGCAAUGGUAUACAUAUCUGACUGAUAACAUGUGAUUGGUUUGACAUGAAGAAGAAUGAAGUUAAUUAUAAGGUGGAAAGAAGAAAAUAAUGAACACACCUGUACAUAGUAGUGGGUGUACAUUUGGAAUAUAAAUUAUUGCAGUGUAUGAAGAUAUUAGGAGUUACUAGGUGCAAAGAUGGUUAGAACUAUUGUGAUUGUUCAUAUAUCAAGAUGGUCUUUGUCUUUGCUGCUGUCUUCCAUGGGGAUAGCCAUGCAGUACUGUUUCAUUGAGAAGAAAGAUCAUUUCCAAAUGUCUACUGAGAAAAUCAAAUCGAAAGCCUACAGUGAAUAUCAAUAAAUGAGUCCAUGGAAGAGAAUUUGAGGCUCAUGAGUAUAUAACAAGAGGACAAGUCACUUAUUAUACCUGGAGAUCUGCUUCGCACCAUGUCUUAUGACCAUAGGCAACAACUUCAAAUUUAAUUUGUGUAUAAUGACAUUUGAGACCAGAACUAACAAUUCAAUCUUAAUAUUGAAGAACAAGAUGUUGAACAUCAACUUCUGUCAACUUCUUGAGGAGUGCAUGAUUGAGCUUGUGCCCCGUGAAGAAGUUGAGCACCUCGCGAGAAGCCGGCCUAUGAAAUAGAAAUUGGAGAGAAGCCGACAUAAAAGCACCUCCAACCAAAGCACCUCCAACCAAAGCACCAUCCAUGUCUGUUUCUCUAGCAAAAGGAAGUGAAAGAUGAAUUGAGGGAAGAAAGUAAGCACACCCAAGAUGAAACCUCCAAACUAGAAAAGAUUGGUUCAGGCGAAGUUUCCAAUGGUUGAAUGAAUUAUUGGACAUCAUGGUAGAGCCCAGACUUCUACAUUGUUGACAAAACAUCAUAGUUCAGUGGUCCAUGAAAAGAAUACAAGGAGAAAGGAAGAAAGCGAAAGGGGGAUGUAAACGAAAGUCAUACAUGCAUACGUAAACUUACAAAUCCUAUAUCCUUUUAUCAAUAAAACAGUUGAAAUAUUUUACCAUUUUUAUAUUAAAUCAUGAUAAGAAUAAAAUGUAAAUUUAUUAAUAUUUUUAUUUUAUUAGUCCGUAAAUUAUAAUAUUUAAUUAUUAAAAAUAUGUUAUAUGUCAAAAAAAGAACAAGAUUCUUUUUUUAAAUUUUACAUGAAUAUUCAAUAUAUUCAUUUUAAAUAAUUAAUGUUAGUAAAAAACAAUGUUUCAGGGCCAAUCUAUUUUUAAUUGUUAUUUCUAGAAAAGCAUGUUUUUUACACAAAAAUUCCAAAGCUAGACAAAGAGGUGUCUUUGAACUUUCAAACAGUUGGGGUCCACUGCUUUCAAUGUUUGAGAAAAUAAUAACAAAAGAUCUUGUUGACUGCCACUUUCAUAUAAGUUAAACCCCACCAACCAGAAAAUCCCCUUGUUCGUCCACUAUAAAGAUCUAUCAUGUACACGCAUCAAGACUAUCAUAAGAUGCUAGUUUCCCAACAGUUUUUUGUAUCAUGAAGCUCUGAACCAUCUCAACCAAAAGGAUGUCCAUCAAUCAAAUAGUUCAUCAUUAUUGGCAAAACACAGCUUUGCGUGAAACAAUGACACCAAACAAUAAAGAGAAAAGAACUACUGAGUUAGACAUCUGUUUUCCAUUGGGGGGGGUGCCCGACUCAAGAAGAUGGAGUUAAAGCGUAAUUGGAGUUGGAAGGGUCAUAACCACCUGAAAGAAAAUAAUCACAAAGACAUGGACAGAUGCACCUAAAAUGUAUGUAUCCAUUAACAAAAGGAAGACUUCAUUUUAAAACCAAAAGGAUUUCGGGUUUCUUAGCUUUGGUAGUAGCAUACCCGCCAUCUCCUUGUUUAAUACAAAUCAUGUUCCUAGCACUAAAACAGCAGCAUCUUCAGGUGCCUUUGCAGAAGCUGUCAGCACCAGUUAAUGAAGGUGACUCAUGAGGGAUGAUCAAAGGGCUGGCUGGGAUAUGUGAAACAGAAGACAUGUUUAUUAUUGUUUGUGAAUAACCAGUCAGAGGCAUGUUUUGGUAUCAUUUGGGGUAUAAGUUAAUCAAUUUCAUUUUUCACCUUUAAUUUUCUAUUUCUUAUUUAUUAUAUGCUGUGACUUGUGAUGAUGAUGACUCCUAUCUUCUUUAAUUGCUUAAUCCUUCAUGACCCAUAAGCAAAAGUACAUAGUUAUUGUGGGACAAGGAAACGAGGAAAAAGCUGGUGUGAUCCCUAUAAUUCAUCACUAACAGAGUUCUGGAAAUUCCAAUUGAAGUAAUAUUUGAUCAUAUCUUGCAUAUUAGGUACUCUAACUAAGAACUUGAUCAGAAUUGUCCAUUGCAUAAAGAGAGUGAAGAAGCUCAACAUAACAUCAUUCUUCAUUCCUUCUAAGCUCAACAUAACAUCAUUCUUCAUUCCUUCUAUUCAAAAUUAGGAAAUUAAAUGAGAAUGAAUGAAGUUACAGUUUUCGUCUUUCUUAUCAAAUAAACAUCUGACUCUGCUGAUACAAACAAUGAGAGCCAAGAUGGCAAUGGGACUUCCUCCAAUGAGAAGAACAGGAACAUUGUCAAUUUUAAGAAAAUGAUCCUGUUUUUGAAUAGGGUACAUGACAGUGAUCUAAGUGAUCAUCCCAACAGCAACACCAUGUAUACCGAAGACAUAAGAAAAACCAAAACAAGAACAAAAUGAAAUCAAAAUUAGGAAAGAAAUAAAUGCAGUAAAAUCAUAACAAAGAUGCUAUAUUCCUGUAUCCUUGCCUUUCAAAUGUGGCUAACUGCUGAUCUCUCCCUUUAUGCAAGCAGAAGGCUAGAAGCACAGUAAACACCAUCUCUGGUAAAAUGCUGACUGCAAAACCAAAACAGAGCAACCUCAGUCAAACAUGACCUAACUUGACCAAUUAAGUACCAGAAAGAUAGAAGCAACCUCAGUCAAACACCAUCUUCUACUUUCCAUCUCCCUGUUCAAUACCAGUUAAGCUCUCAGGCACUAAAAGAGCAGCAUCUUCCUCACUCCACCUUCCAUCCCCAACAACCUUUGAAAUAAUUUUAUUACAAAUUAAAGCAACAGAUGCCUUAGUUAUCAAAAAGUAUAAGCCCAAAGAAAACAUACCUGUUACUUUCUGGUGGGUAUAAGAUAUCACACAUUUCAGCCUCAUACAACCUACAAAGUGAUGUAAGAACAACUUGUAAUUUGCAGAUUACAAAGAGAGUCUCCUCUGUUGUACCCUCAGAAAAUGGACCAAAGCAAUUAAAUUAUUUCUCUAACCAUAAAUUAGCUAAACAAAAAUGCACCCAUGCAUGCUUAUGUAAGAGAAAAUCAGAAAUCAGACUUUCCCAUUUUGAAGGUAACUUAAUUGAGUCAUGGAGAAUAUAAAAGUGACUUUUUUUUUAUAUGAGCUACCUGAGUUCAAAUCUGUCUGCACUCUUGAUAUCUUUGUUCUUGAUUUGUAGAGUGAUAAAAAUAAAAAAAUAAAAAAAUAAUAAUAAUAAUCUUAAACCAAACAAACAAAGCAUAAAAUUUGAAGUCAAAGGGCAGAGUACUCUGCACACUCAAAUCUCCAACAACAGGACAGCAAAAAUUGACACAGGGCAUUACACAUUUCCAAUGGAAUAUUCUCAGAUGUAUGUGUUUGCUGCUGCCUUUCCAGGGGGAGACUCAUCAAAUAUUGUUUCAUUGGAAAGAUCAUAGGCAUAUAUCAAGAACACAAGUCUCUUAUACGUGGAGGGCUACUUGGCACCAUGUCUGUCAGACCAUAGGAAAUGGAAUCUUACAAGUUUGUGUAUACGGAGACUUGUGUUAACCUGAGAAACAUAAAUAUGUUACCACAAUAGAAAUGAUUAGAAAUUCAGAUGCACAAAUUUAGCUACUUUAAUAAAUUGCCACAUCAAUUUUUGGGAAGUGUAGAACAAGUACCUGACUGACGGUAUUUAGCAUACUGAAGUCAUUAUGUGUGUGAAAUCACCACCUUCAUUAGUAAUUUAGUAGAGCACACCACCUAUCACUAUGCGUGGAAUGUGAGCUAUAUAUUCCCAAUCUUGGCCUUUCUCAAAUUGGCACCCAUCCUCCAGCAAAGGACAACUCCCGAUUGUCAUACAAGACAGGGAGUUUGGCAGUCUCUCUUUUGUCAAGCAUUGGAGAUGAUAGCAAUUGGACAUAGACAAUUCUUUGAGAGAGGUGAGGUAUUGAAGACCUACUUCUCUCAAAGAUUCGAGCACAGGGAGGUAGGUCAUCUCUAAAUUUUUAAGAGAGGUAAGAUGUUGAAGCCCCUCUUCUCCAAAGGAUUGGAACUUAGGGCAGUUGAAGAUGGAUAAUGUUGUUAGAGAGGUAAGUUGUUGUAGCCCCUUGCUGUCCAGAGACUUGAUAUUCAGAAGACCACGUAUACAAAGAGAGGUAAGUGUGGAGGGUAGCAGGGACUCGUUGGGAAAUGAUUCCAUGUCUUGGCAUCCAGCACUGAUUGUGAAUUUUGUAAGAGAGGCCAGUCUUUGCAAACCCCAGUCCACCUGAGAUGUGAGUUGGUUGCAGGAUGAAAUUUCAAGUUCACGUAGGUUGGAGGGCAAACCAUCUCUCUGAAACAACAAUUCUGGACAAUCUAUUAACCUCAAUUUCUGCAACGAUGAGUGUGUGCGCGCUAGCAACUUCAGCUUCCUACAUCUGGAGAUCCCAUAGCGUGCAGACUCGAGAGCGGGCAAUUCAAUAUAUAUCAGAUCAGGGCAGUCUUCGAUAGUUAAAUAAUUAAGAGACGUGGGAUCCCCCUCUGAAACGGAGAUGGAGAGGAAUUCAAGCCCUUCAAAAUCAGAGAUGUCGAGUCUGUUCAACCGUGGGAAGAUGCUUAAUGAGAAAGAUAGUGAGAAAGAAUUACAGUUCCCAAAACCACUAAUGAACAAAAAUACAAGGAAUGGAUGGUGGGAUCUCAAUAGUGCACGCAGGACAAACUCCAGUUUGGUACACUUCGAGAUAUCUAGUGACUUCAAUGUAGUGGGUAAACCAACACUGUGCAAGGGUCUGGAGAAACGACAACUUGUGAUGCGCAAAUGUUGGAGAAGACAAGUGCUUCUUUGUAGUAUUCCCUCCUCCAAUACCCACUCUAUCGAAUCACAUUCUCUGAUUGUAAGCAUCUGUAUUCGUGGUGGCAUUUCCUCCCAUUGAGAGAUGUCUGAAAUUUCAAUUUCUGAAGUUUGGAGAUUAGUGAACCCACAAGCUGGCCUUUUCAACCGAAAUUUACCAUGAUUCGACAUUCUCCAUUCACGGAUUUGAGGAGCUCGGAGGGAGCCCACAAGCAACUCAGAACGAAUGAUUACAAGUUUCUUCAAUGAACGAAGCUGUUUUGGUAAUUUCCCAGUGAGUUUGGGACAUUCAUUUAUACAAAGCUUCUGAAGACGAGGGAAUUCUCCACGUCUGCAUCCACAACAUAACCAUUUCUCCCAGUUGUACAUCUUCUCGAAUCUUAGAGUUUGUAGGGACGGGAAGGAGGGCUUAGUUGUGUUGGAGGAAGAAGCAUUCCCAUAAAAUUCACUACCCACCAUUUUAACUCCUUUCAUUUCUAAGAUAGAAAGAUGUUUAAGAGAGGGUAGCUGCCCGAGUGGUGGCAAUGACGAGCAAUUGUUACAAUUCUGAAGCCCCAGGUCAACAAGAUUGAAGAAUGAAGGAUCUCCUACCCAAUCUGGAAAGCUUAAACCACUAAAAGAAUAAAUAUGGAGUCUCUUGAGGUUUGUAUGUGGCUGUAAGCUGUUGAGUAUAUCCCUUCUAUUUUGCACAACACCACCAAGGUCAGUGUUCUCAUAAUCCCACUCAAACUUCAACUCAUCAAGGUACUUUUUAUCCUUCAUAUUAGCUUCUAAUGCAUCCCUAUCACAUACUACAUUCCCCAACUUUGAAAUGACAAGACUUCCCGAAAGCUCCCUCAAUGCUCCCAAUCUUAACCCACCAUUUUGGCCCACAAUAAAUGUAGAAAGUGAUUGUAAAUUCUUUAGCAUACAUGUAUCACUUGGCAUCUCUUUCAACCCACUACCAAUAAUAUCAAGGUAACGCAAAUUAAUCAAUUUUUCCAUCCUUGAGGAUAAUUCAACGAGACAAUGACAUCCCAAUAACAUCAUUGUUUGUAAAUUAUACAAGUUACAAACUGAUUCACGCAACAUUUGAAUCCUUGUCCUAGAGAGAUCCAAGUAGCGCAAGUGUUUCAACUUCUCAAUCGAAUGAGGCAAAUCAGUAAUAAGAUAACCAUUUAAACACAACACUCGUAAACAUUUCAUUUCCGGCAAUAGAUGGUGUAGAACUCUAUUACUUAAAAAGUUAUAUUGAAAGUACUGAUAUUUGCUUAUUGGUAAAAAUGUUCGGAGACACUAAUUUGAGAAAGUGGAUCAAAUCUCUCAUAGACAUCAUAUUCAUUAAUCAAAUAUGAUAAAUGACAAGUUUUCUCCGAGACUUUGUAUAUCUUACCAUCCUCCAAAGAAGUAGAAAAUUCUCCCAAUACCAAUUGUGCCAUGUCAUUAACGAGGUCGUGCAUUACAAAACAUGAGUCAUUGCUAAUUGAAUUUUGAAAAAAUGACUUUGAUAGAAGUUCUUGAAAGUACAAAUUACCUACCUCUUCCAUUCUUUUCUUGCUUUUUGAUUGUUCCAACAAACCUUCUGCCAUCCAUAACAAAACUAGCUUCUCAUUUUCGAAUUCGUAGUCUUUGGGAAAGAUUGAACAAUAAGAAAAACAACGUUUUAGAUGUGAAGGAAGGUAAUAAUAACUCAACCUCAGAGCAGGAAGAACCGCAUCUGUGGGCAAAUCCCAUAAUUCACUGUUUAAUACAUCAUCCCAUUCUCUUGCUUCAACCUUGGAGUGUAGGAGACUCCCCAUUGCUUUUAUAGCCAGCGGUAGACCUUGGCACUUGUGGACAUUCUUUUCUCCGAUUUCUUCUAGUUGUGGAUGCCCACUUGAGUCUCCAUUUUCAAAUGCAAGUUUUUUGAACAGUGACCAACCAUCUGCAGAGGAUAACCCACCUAAACAAUGAGUAUGGACUGCACGCAUGGCAGAUGCAACAUUGGUGCUUCGUGUAGUUACAAUAAUCUUGCUUCCCUUUGCACCGACUAUGAGUGGAGUUCGUAGCAUGUCCCAGUCACAAGAGUCUUCGUUCCAAACAUCAUCCAGGACAAGUAAAAAAUUCUUCAUAUUAAUUCUUUCCUUCAGUUGAACCUGAAGUAGAUUUAGAUUAGUGGUACUGGACGUGGAUGAAUUGACCGCCUCGAGAAUUGUUUUCGUAACUCUGAUAGGAUCAAAUUCUUCGGAAACACAAACCCAUGCCUUGAUUUCGAAGUGUUCCUUCACCCUUUGGUCAUUGUAGAGGAGCUGGGCAAGUGUGGUUUUGCCCGUGCCACCCAUGCCGACUAUGGAGAUCACACCCAUCGCAUCAGUACUCCUUGCAUUAUCGGACAGCAACAGUUGAACCAUCUCCUCCUUAAUUUGAUCCCUGCCAUAGACAAGAGAUUCAUCUACCAAAGAAGUAGAAGGCCACCUUUGUGACAGUUUCUCGCCAUCACCUUCUUUCAACCCAAGGACGUCUCUGUCUCGUGCCAUAUCUUCUAGUCUAUCAAUGAUCUCCUCCACCCUAGACUCUAUGCCCUGACCAUCAAAUGGAGCGAGAACCCAGGUUGACAUGUCCAUGAUGUUACCCACCUGACUUGUGCUGGUUUGGGACUCCGCAGCUUCCACCUUGUAUCGCAAAGCCUCUGUGGCGAUCUCAUCCAAUAUGUCCUCCGCAUCAUACACGGCCUCUUUAAGCAAGACCAGCCACUUCUUCACAUAUGGAUUUGUAAACUGUUUGACCUCAGCAUCGUUGAGCACUGCAUGGACCACCAGCAACUUCCUUUCCAACUUCUUCAGGAGCGCAUCGCUGAGCGUCUGUGUUAUAUAUAUAUAUAUAUAUAUAUAUAUAUAUAUAUAUAUAUAUAUAUAUAUAUAUAUAUGUAUAUAUUGUUGGUUAAAAAAUAAAGUGUAAGAAGAGUUACACUUUUGAAAAUAACUUUUGGAAAAUAAAGUGUAAGAAGGGUUACACUUUUAAAUGUGUGAAUUAAACAUAUGAUUUAAUUUUGAAUGUUACAAAGAUGAAGAGGUUGAGGAAGACAAUGAGUCUUCUCAUCUUUGUAACUUUAUAAACUUAAGAGGUUAAGUGUAAGAGAGUUACAUAUUUGAGAUUAAAUCAUGUUUAAUGUGUGAAUUAAACAUAUGAUUUAAUUUUGAAUGUUACAAAGAUGAAGAGAUUGAGGAAGACAAUGAGUUUUUUCUCAUCCUUGUAACCUUUUUUCAACCCUAAGAGUGCUAUAUAUAUGACUUUUCUUCUUUUUGAAAUCUCAUGUAGAAAAGUGAAAAGGCUUUAUCAAUCCCAAGACUAUUUCCAUUUAGUUCCCAAAAGAUUUCUAGAGGUGGGAGGAAAUAGAGUCUUUGGACAAAGUUCCAAGAACUUGUUUGAGUCUUUCUUGUGUUCUUCUUCUUCUUGUUCUUAUUUUGUAUCUAAGAGAGUUUUAUUGUAUCAAAGUGAGUGUGUGAGAGUGUUUCUUUUCUCCAUUGUAUCCAAAUUUUAUCAACAGUCUGCCCCCGGAUGAAGCUCAUAACCUCGCGAGAAGCCAACCUGUCAAAUAGAACUUGGAGAGAAGCUGAGAGAAACGCACCUCCAACUAAAGCCCCUGCCAUUUCUGUUUCUCUUGCAAAGGAGGUGAAAGAUGAAUCGAGGGAAGAAGAAAGCAAGCAGACCCAAAAUGAAACCUCCAAACCAGAAAAAAAAAUUAUAGAGAAAAUCCAACUUGUUGACGGUAAAGGAACUUUGGAUUCCAAAGUUUUCAUGGUAGACCCCCCCAUAUGCCAGCUUUCUUUGCCGACAACAAACUUCAUUGGUCAAUAUAUAGAAAAUGAAAAUUUGAUUGAAGAUUUUCAUCCUUCGUACAUGAUUUUCCUUCCAUUGUGAUAAAAACGUAGACUUAAUUGAAGCUUCAUGAAAGCCAUCUUCUGACUUUUUCUGGAUUUCAUUAUUGAUUAAAUGAAAAGUUUUGGUUGUAAAUCAAUGUAUUUUGAGAAUUAAAUGAGAUUUAUAUAAAAAAAAAUAUAUGAAAAUUUACUUUUAUUGUGUGCUUAAUAUACAAGUAAGGUGAAAAAAAUUAUCAGGUUUUGAUUUGGAUCAAGGGUUAAAUCUUGGGGGAUCAUGAUUAAAGAAUGAUAUUAUAAAUAUAUAAUUUAUACAUCAAUUAAAAAUAACUCACAAAAAUUAAAAUUAUUUGUAAAUAUUUAAAAUAAUUGAAAUAUUUUAUCAUUUUAUGUUUAAUAUUAUUAUAUUAAAUCGUGAUAAGAAUAAAAUAUAAAUUUAUUAAUAUUUUUAUUUUACUAGUUACUAAAAAUAUUAUAUUUAAUUAUUGAAAGAAUGUAUUAUAUAUAAAAAAAUAGAAUAAGAUUUUGAUAUUUAUUUUUUUCAUUUUAUAUUGUAUAAAUCUUGUUAAUAAUUUAGUGUGAAUAUAUACAUGAAUAUCCAUUAUAUUCAUUUUAAUAUGAAUAUUAAACCCAAAUUGUUUAAGUUUAAUUUUUAGGAAAAUUGGUUGUUUAACAAGAUCGAUGGUUUAAGUGGUUCAUUGGGUAAGAUUGUUCAAUUUCUCAAUAGUAGGAUGAUUGGUCGAUAUUCCAACAGGUCGAAUUAUCCAAUUUGGUUCAAUUUUUAAAACCUUAAUUAAUAAGCAACAACAUGUAAUUUCUAGAUGGAUUAUGAUUCUUAUAUCAAAUUUCAAUAGAAUCGUUAAUGUAUAAAGUUUUUUCAUACAUAGAUACUAUGGAUUUGUUUGGAAAAUUUUGAAAAACAAUUCUUAGUUAUUUUGAGGAAUAAAAUUCUAUUUGAAAACUCAAAUAUAUAUAUAUAUAUAUAUAUAUAUAUAUAAAAGGCUUUAUUAAUUUAUUUUUUAUAAAAGUAUCAUGCAUUUAUGUAUAAUUCAAAAGUUUUUAAAAUAUUUUACAUUUUUUUAAUUAUUACUCACAACUCAAGCAUGCACAAAAAAUAACUAAAAACAUCUCAAAUUUAUUAUAAAAAAGUUAUUUUUAGAAUACAUUCUCAAAAAAUUAUUUUGUAUAAAAAAUGUUCUAUAGAAAAAAAAUAAAAAUUCAAAAAUCAUUACUAGGCAAGCCUAUGCUACUGUGGAUGCUUUGGACAAAAUGAAAAAGAAAAAUAGUAUUUUUCAAUACCAUUUGAAAUCAUGAAAAUACCAUAACCUUGCAUACAAUAUAUGGGUCAAGGCCUUUAAAAAAAAAAAUUUCUUUUUAUUUGGAUAUCUAACUUGGGAUUCAAGGUUUAAUUAGGAAUUUGGUCAUUCAUCACCAUUUUCAGUGGUUGAAAUUCUUAGGUAGACUUGGUUGUUGACUUGGUAGUUCACAUUAAGCCAUAUGGACUUCAGACCCACCCACCAGAAAUGAAUGAAAAUAAAGGCAAAUAAAAAGCUAUUUUCAAGAAUCAUUACCAAACAAGCCUAUGUUGUUGUGGAUGCUUUCGACAAAAUGAAAAAAAAAUGGUAUUUUUAAUACUAUUUGAAAUCAUAAAAAGACCAUAACCUUGCAUACAGUAUAUAUGGGUCAAGGCCUUUUCAAAAAAAUAAUUUCUUUUUAUUUGGUCAUUCGGCACCAUUUUCAUUGAUUGAAAUUCUUUCGUAGACUUGGUUGUUGACUUGGGAAUUCACAUCAACCCAUGUGGACUUCAAAUUCACCUACCACAGAAAUAUGAAAAUAAAGGCAAAUAUGAAAGGCAAGUGGUGGUGAUAGGAAGACUCUUAUCAGUAACUUUUGUCAGGUACUGGAGCUUAGGGCGGCUGUAGACCAAUGUCAUCGUGAAUCUUAUCAAUCCCUAUUAUUGAUUGUUAGGGUUGUAGCUUAAGAAAAUAUCUUCAAUCAAUCAAAUGAUGCAUCCGCAAAUCCAAGUCUCCAGCAAAAUUUAAAUUAUUAUUGAAUUUGUAGUUUGACAUCCACACACAUUCUUUCCACAUCAUUUGAUGGCCCUUUAUGGAUUAUCUAUAAAUUCAGAGUACUUUGGAUUUGAGGGCCAUGAAGGAAAAAAUGACAGUGGUAAAGAAGGAAAAAGUGGAACUGUAAUUAGCUUGGCCCUUGAGAAAUAUUUUUUGGGCACACUGUUCCAUCAUUUGGCCAGAACCAAAAUCCUCAAUGUGUCAAAGUGAUGUUGUACAAAAUUCCUUACAGGUUAAUAAUUGUCGACACAUUUCUGCCAUGAAUACAUAAGCUGGUUGUAUUAGAGCUCUCCACAUUACUGAGACAAAUGGGCUCCUGCCAUGAAACAGUUGAUUUUUUCCAAGGAAAUGAAAAUUUUGUCCUAGUUGAUUUCCAAUGACCCAUCCUUAUAUCUGCUUGCUCAUUUUUCCAUUUUUGGAGUUCAUUCUUUUGCUCCUUAAUUGUCUAAGCUCUGAUGGAUGCUAAUCUUAAACUGUGUAGCACUAGCCAACCCUGUGGAAAUGGAAAACAUGGUAGUUAGGUGUGGCCAAGAAGUCUCAGAGCUCUUCGAUCGUUCUGAAAGAGGCAGGAAUUGAAGAAAUUGUUGAAAUCAUGAGUGGAUUUUGAAGAGAUGGUAAGGAAGCCUCCAACAUCAGCAAACUUCAAGUGAGGAUAGCAGUUAUGAGUAGGAUGUUGGUGAAGAGCCUGCAAGCUGGGGAUGCCAUGUUUGAGAGAGUAUCCCAUGCUGUUUAUUUGGCUGCGAGAGUAGUAGUGCUUGCAGGGAAUGGCCCUCAAGGAAGAAAAUUAGCAGAAAUGGCACUCCGGCGGGUGGGAGGCUUUGAUCUGACUGAUAGAGUGGUGGCAACAGCCAUGUGUAGGUUAAUGUUCAUGGGCAAUGGU
This 77650-nucleotide long non-coding RNA is filed under the name Vitis vinifera (wine grape). Its description in RNAcentral is "long non-coding RNA (VVIN_LNC003914)". Lineage: Eukaryota; Viridiplantae; Streptophyta; Magnoliopsida; Vitales; Vitaceae. The record is from RNAcentral.